UUUUUUUUUUUUUUUUUGUGUUUAAUCUUCUAUUAUUCUUAUAAACUGAAAAUUUACAUCUGUUUCCUACUUUUUUGGUGUGUUUUAAUUGUGGUUUUUUUAUGAACAAGGAACAUCUCAACGGAGGCGAGGACCCUCAGUUCCCAAAUGGACGAAACAACUUUGUUCGUUUGAUAUGUCCGGAAAAUGCAUUAGUGAUAAUUCUAGUGCAUUUUCAAAAUAUGUGGCAUCGGAGGUUAGAGACCACAGAAAUCUCCCAUUGGCGAAGCAUUGGCGUAAGAUUAAGGAUGUAGAUAAGGAAGUUUUCUGGAAUACAAUUAAGGUAUUGGUAUUUUUAUUGUUAUUAGAAAUAAAAAGAAUAAUUCAAUGAUUGUUAUAAUAUUUGACUUGGUUGAUUUUUUUUUUUUUUUUUUGAUGUAGGGAAAUAUUGUUUUUGAAGAUGCAGAUAUACCAAAAAUGCCUUUGAUCCGCUUUAUGACGCUUAAGGUUGCUGAGCAUGCACAUAAGGAGUUUAGAAAUAAGUUAAAAAAAAGUAUUAUAUCGAGAGAGCAGCAGAGGAGCGUCGCCAGCCUCCUCCUGAUGUGAAUCCUACCCAGUGGGGUAGUUUGUUGGCAUACUGGAGUGGAGAUAAAACAAAGGUAAUCGAUGUAGUUUAUUUUGUUAUAACUAUAAAUUUGUGUAAUAAAUUUUUUAUUUUUAUUUUCAGGAGGUUGCUGAAAAAAACAAGAUUAAUCGGCAAAGGAAAACAAUGAACCAUACUACUGGUACAAAAUCUUUUGCAAGAAAGCGGCAAGAAUAUGUAUGGAUUGUACAAUUUGAAGAAAUUUUAUUUUAAAUAUUCUAUAGUUGUUAUAAAUUUUAAUUUUAAUGAGGUUUGCCUAAAAUUGUUUGUGUGAUAUUUUAUUUUUGGUAAAGCGGAAGAAGCAUGGGAAAGAAGCCGAUCCCGUAACCUUUUUUCGUGAAUGUCAUACACAAAAAAAUGAAACUUGGAUUGAUGAGGAAUCGGAGCGUACAGGGGUAAUUUAUUUUACUGUGUUAGUAUUUCAUUGUUAUUAAUUUUUAUUAUCUAUAGCUUAUUUUUCUGUUUUACGAUUGAAUUUUUAUUUUUAAAAAUUGUAAUGCUAGGCAACAAUGGAGCAAUCUGCAAACUUUGAUUCAGUCGGGGCAAGAGGAUAAUGAAGAUCUUAGGACCCAAGUGUAUGUUGAAACAAUGGGUCUUGAGAGGUAUAAUAGAGUCAGAGGAUACGGUCAUGGGGUGACUCCUGAUAUGGUGUCCUGUGCGUCUUCUCGUCUUCUACAUCAAUUUCCUCCAAGAGGUCAUCUAGCAGUGCAAUGGCAUUGCCGAUGACUCAAAAUAAUGAGUUGAAAUUGAGGAACGAAAAUAACAAUAAAUGGAUUUCGGACAUAGAGAACAAGCAAAGUCAGAUGUUUGCGUGGCUUUUCCAAAGAUUUCAGCCACAACCACAGCCACACCCACCGUAUAGCCCGGGAACCCAACAGUCAGGCCAGAGUCAGCCUCCUCCUCCUCAACAGACGGGUCAAAGUCAGCCACCCCUUGCAUAUCCGUAUGCUGGCCAUAAUCAGCAACCUCUGUAUCCUAUGUAUCUGAUGCCUAUGCAGCCCACGGCAUACAUGCAGCAGCCGCCUAUACCAUACAUGCAGCAGCCUCCCAUGCCUUACAUGCAGGAGCCGCCUUAUCAAGUGCCAGUAUAUCGACCCGAGAUGGCUGCUCCUUAUUCUGAAUUUCCAGCUGGGGGGUUUGCUGAAAUGCUUGCGGGUGUUGGAUCUGAUGUGGAUUUGUCAAGGAUGUUGGUAUCAAAUAUAGGACCUCAAGGACGAGAAGGAUAUGUGCCACGUUCAGGCGCAGAUUCGGUUCCGUAGUUUAUUUGGUUCGCUUUCUUGUCAGUUAAAUAUGACACUUUAAUCGUUCUAUCUUUUUUGUUUUUUUAUGUUAUGUUUGUAAUGUCGGAUUUAGUAGUUGUUAUGACGGAUAAGUUUUUGUAUAUUAAGUGGAACGUUAGAUGUACAAUAUUUGUGUAUUUUGGCACUAUUUUUAUUGUUAAUUAUUUUCAUUAAUGUAUGUACAAUAUUUGUGUAUUUUGGCAUUAUUUUUCUUGUUAAUUAUUUUCAUUAAUGUUUAUUUUGGCCUUGGAAUUUAUUAAUAUAAUUAUAUAAAUUUUUUCUAUUACAAUGAAUUGAAGACGAAUGCAGUUUGUCGGUUUUUUUUUAUUAUUAUUAACAAAAGUGGUGUCGGUUAUGACCGUUAUUAGUUUGCAUAUUUUAUUUAUUUAAUUGUUAUUUGAUGUCGGUUUAUGGGUAUUAAAUUGAUUUAAUAUUAUUUCAGUGUCGUUUAAAAGCGAUAGUAGGAUGGAUAUUUUACAAUUAAAUUGCUAAUGAACGUCACAUUAAAGCGACGUAACCUGUAUGUAUGCGUCGCUUUAAACCGACGUUAAUUUUAGUGUCGCUUUAAAGCGACGUUGUUUAGUGUCGGUUUAAGCCACGAAACCGACGCUAAAGCCCUUUCGUGACGCUAGCAAUAGUGUCGCUUUGAAAAUGCGACAUUACAUUGUUUUAUGUUGGAUUUUUGCCAAAAUUCCGACAGAAAUUGGAUUUCUCUGUCGGUUUUUGCUCCGACAGUGAUAGCAUAUAUUGGAGUAGUGAACACAAACCCAGAAUUCUUUUGAAAUCCUUGCAGAACCCCGUCGGUCGCAAGCCAUCGGUCGCCGAUUUGAGCGGCAACAAUUUCACCGGCGCUAUCCCAGAAUAUCUCAGCAAUGCCGAAGAACUCAGUUACUUGAACAUUCGUUGAACCCAUUUCAAUUAGUCAUUUCGUCGAACAUCUGGCGCGCACCAAAUCUGCAUAUUUUUUCCACUAGAUCCAGCGACUUCACCGAAAAAAUCCCAGACUUUGUCGGCUGCAAAAGCCUGUUCAAAUCGAACGCCAAUGAAAUGACUUUAAUGGUUCCAUCCCAUGGGACAUCGACCUCACCCAGAACUUUCUCUCCAGCACAAUUUCGUCCAACUUCAAGAACUGCAGCACGUUGGAGAGUUUCAACGUUUCGUUUAAUUUAUUGGGGGGAAUAACCCAGGUUCUGAUAUUUGGGGUUGUGAGGUGAUGAGUUUGGUUGCAGGAGUUGACGAAUGGAUUGAGGGUUGAAAUUGGUUUCUAGAGAAGAGGAGAAGGUAUAAAUUGAAGAAAGUAAGGGGUUUGGGAGAAUUAGGGCUCUUGAAAUGCUCCUUCAAUGCCUCCACCUUCAUUUUUAAUUGUUAAUUUUUAAUUUUUUUUAAUUUUUUUAAUUUUUUAAUAUUUAUGUGGGCUCCUAUGACACGUGAUGUUUAGUCACUGUCCACGUGAGCGCUAUGUCACCAGUUAACGGCUGAUUUAAUAGCAAACUUAACGGAUGUAUGAAAAUGUCCCAAAAUUAUGACUUUAUGUACCACUCUAGGAUGAAAAAAAAACUUCAUGUAUUAAAUGUUGAAAACCAAGAAACUUCAGGGUAGUAAACUGAGAUUAACCCUUUUAUUUAUUACUUUUAUGUCGAUUUGAAUUAUCAGAUCACUGUGGCAUGGCUAUAUUUGGUUAUAUUUAAGUUAUUUGUUCAUCGUUUGCUGCACCGGUGUUAGUACUCGUCCAGACCAGGGCCAGUCUUUCAUGUGUAUGUGCACAUCACACCGUACGCUCACUUUGGAUCCAUUAUAGGUGCCAGUCCUGUCGUACAGGUUGCAAUAGGCAACUUCGACUCAUAUGUGCUGAGCAUAGCGCAAGUCUUCACGUGAUUGUAGUACCAAAACGUUUACUAUUAUUACACCUAGUCCUUUUCAUGUCAAAAUAUCUCUGCAUGAACUCGUGUGUCAACAUAUGUCGAUGAGCACCUGAUAUGAUAUGUUGCUUAUGUGAGAUUUUGUUAUUAUGGAUGACAUGCCCUUAUUUACGAGAUAUUGUGCCGUAAUGAAUUCUUGAGAUUUUGCAGGUUACGGUAAGUAUUUUCUUACUAUAUGUAGUAUGCAUAUUUUGGAAACUAUACUUAUUUUACAGCGAAGGGUUAUUAUGUUUUCGAAAAGGUUUUUACAAAGAUUUGUUUCUAGGCCCACUUACCCUUAUUUUCCGUCCCUCCAGGUUUUAUCGCUGAACUUACAUGUCGACACGGAUUUUUGGCAAAUCUUGGUGUAGACAUUCGAUGGUAUAAUUCUCACCCUAGCUUAUUGUACUAUACUUAUGCUCUGACAUUACGUGUGAAAUUGGUUCAUUCCCACUCACAGCGCACUCUAAUACUGGGGCAUUUUUAGGUUUAAAUUUAUUCAUAAUUCCAUAUCACUACACUUUAUGGCUCGUCACCCUCCAGGUGUCAACCAGCACAACUCAAUUCGAAGUCCAGGUGGACAUUUUGGGUUGGGGUGUGUCAGUUUGGUAUCAGAGCAUAAGUUGGGCAGUAUUGCGUUCAUCACAUGCAUGAUGUAAGCAUUCUCGGUUCUUGAGCCUAAUUUUCGAAUCUUGCCACCUCGUCGACUACGAAAAACGUGUUAAGUUUUUCUAAGUUUUGGAUGAAUUGGAUGAUUUAUCGUCAUUCUAGAACAUUGUGUUGGUAGACGUUCCUAAAUUUUAACAAAGAACCUCACUGCCAAGGAAAAAUCCUGUUUUUGGAUUAAGUUGAUGGCCCUGACGUAGGGCGAAUGUAUCAGGAGUCACACAUCACCAGAGAUUUACAAGUCAAUCCCAUCAUUACUCUCCUGCCAUCAUUACCAAAUCUUGCGAGAUAGGAAACCACAAUUAGUUUUGAUUCCUUGGCAGCAUCCGAUCGCACACCAUAAAUUAGAAUUCCUACGAAGUUUACUUAGUCAAGAUUUCAGAAUUGGCUUGAGCGACAACCUGGUGCUAAAGCGGUAUCACUCGACAGAAGAACAUCUGAGGGACAAUCACUUUUGGUCCCUGAUAGCACUAAUCUUUUCAAACACACGAACGAUCAUUUCGGAUCUUCAGAAGGAAGAUCGACAUCCGUUUAAGUCCGUUCUAAAGUAGAUUAUUAUCAAAUUCCUUUUUUGUCUUUUGGACGUUCCCACCAAUACUAGUUUCUCAAAUUUCUUUUGGUGAUGUACUCAUUAUUUAGACGAGCAUAGGCACAGGUGUACGAAUUGUUAUACCUACGGUUAGUAGAAAUCCCCGAAAUAGUAAGUAUGUUUCCUUAGAAUUAAUGAAACCACCUCAUUGGACCAGUUCCUUACCAAUUGUCCAAAAUUAUCCACCUGAGCGGGCUCUAACCUGUAAUCAACCUACAGUGGCGCUACUAAUUAACGACAUCAGCUGACAUUCUAGAAUGGUCAACCAGUAUUCAGGCAGUAUAAUUUCUGAUACCGGGCACAUGUACUAGUAUCUGGGAGUGAUACUCUUAUGCCAGAACGCUGGUUUAUAAUUUCAGGGUAACGAACAAUAACAACAUAUCGUAAUUAUGUUAAUUAGCGGUGAGACUAAUAAACUGAUUAAUAGUGACUACUUGAGCCAAAGAAACUUAGGAGUAAGCUUUGUAUUAGGACAGUAAACUUAUAGUUGUUUUUACCUUAUUACCUAUCUAGGUAAGCAUAACCUCUCCGACUAGCCACCUUUUCAAUCACUUCUAUACGUAGACAGUAGAAUCGAGGUGUGAAUUAAUUUUCCAUUGUCAAAGUGAGUUGAGUAUCGAGAAAACUGUGAAGACCUUUUAGUUCGCGUCGUAGUGAAAGGAAGUAGUAUAGUAUGUUUCGAGAACGUAUAUCUUUGGCAUCAUUUCUCCAAAUUUUGCCUAGGAUAUCACCAAAUGGUGAAAUAAAGUACGCCAUCGAUCCAUUUUCUCGUACUACACCAAUUUUCCUUGUGUCUUUUUGAACAACUCCUACAAUUGAGAGAACUUAGUUACAUAAGCUUACCGAUUGGAAAUUUAUCAAACCAAACACCUUACCUAGGGAACCUCAAACCUAUCUGUGAAGGUGAAAGGCUGAACCUUAGGAUCGUACCUAGAUCUUUGCAACGUAAUUAGGUGACGAUUAAAACGGUUAACCCAUAUUUCGAAUUGAUGGUCUACCCGACCACUUUUGGAACUUGAGUUUUCUUCCAUAGCUUGUUGAAUCCAUGGUAGUCUUACAGACAACUUUCCCACCUACUUCAGCAGCGAGAUCAAACUUCCUAAAUACCGACAAUUAGCUUUAUACAAAAUUUCUCAAAUGUGUUAGUUGUCUAAAUUGGUAGUUUUCUUGGGAGACGUGAUAUCGGUAGACGAUAUUCUUUUCUUUUUCCCAAAAGGUUGUAGUGGAAGAAAGUUGAAAUUCUCACAAGGUAUUGUGAAUUUCGAUAUAUCUUUGGUCUUGACGAUUUUAUCAACAAUUUGUUAGCGAUUUUUUUGCUAUAGUGUUUUUCCUCACUUAUCGACCGGGAAAGUUAAUUUAGUUUGAGAUGUUGAAUAUGAAUAAAGUAUCUGACAACUGAACUGUUGUCUCAACUCACCAUUGCUUUACACCUUUCGAUGACAUUGAUCAUUUCAAAUCCCAAGAUGACGUGUUCUUUGGAUGUUUUGGCUGUGUAGAGGCAACUUGACGAUGUAUCGCUUAUGUUUCCUAACGAUUGGAACCAUAUGAAAUGAACUACCUUACUCAUGACUUAGAGUCCACAAUUAUCACCUUUGUUGAUGCAUAAAAUCAGUGAGGACUUUGGUACAACAUAAAAUGUUAAGUUUGUGACAUUCGCUAGAUUGCUCCGGUCACUAGUGUGGAUAAAUAUGUAAAUGAAUAGGGACAGGGAAACAAACACAAGAUGUAUGUGGUUCACCCAGAUUGGCUACGUCCAUGGAGUAGAGGGGUUCUCAUUAAUAGUGAAGGGUUUACACAAGUACAUAGGUUCAAGCUCUCCUUUAGUGAGUACUAGUGAAUGAUUUAAUACAAAUGACAUUCAUAAAUAUUGUGGGAGAAUGAUCUCCUUUUAUAGAAGAGAGUUUGUAGCUUUGUUUUGACAUUGACACGUGUCGUGUUAUGAUUGACUUUUGAUGUUAACACGUGUCGCGCUAUGACGCUAUGAUUGGCCUCCUGGUUGAAGGGAAACUCUUCUGGGUCCUUAACGGUAUAACUCUGACCGGUGCGCAGUAGUUUCGGGAUUGGUCAAGUAUGGUACAAACAACCUUCAUUUGAAAACCGGAUGACAUUUCUCUGCGAUAAGUGUAUCCAGAAUCUUUAUCAACCCUAGACUUCUCAAAUACAUCUUCAAUUGAAAGGAACUAGAUUUCUGACAUUGGUGAUGGAAGAACCAAAUCAACGUUUAUAAUUGCGCUAUCAUGCAUCAUCUCGGUUGUGUAGGCGUAAUGACUGUUUACCACAGUGAAAGACAUAUCUACCCUUGAACAUUUCCAGCAUUUUCUAUCCCAUUCUAGUUAGAGCUCACAAGCAUCGAGUUGAUAUUAUUUCCGAAUUAUCAAGAAAUUUUUCGUGUGGUUAUAAUCACUUCUUGAAUCCAAAUGCAACUGGGAAAUAUCACCAUAAGCUCCUACUACGAGGUGUCUUGUACAUGUGGAUAUUACGAUGAUGUUUCGGUGAUUAUCAACCGACUUGACAAGUUAGCUUACUUCGCGUUGGCCCAAAGGGACUACAUUUUAGAUCACUUGAGAAAAUUACUCAUUCUUGAAAUUAUCAGAUUAUUCUGAUGUUUAGAUCAACAUCUACUUUGACUGUGGUUUCAUAUUCACCUUUUGUGCAGGAAGGCAUUCCAAUCACCCUUGGGUAUGUGUCUACCCUAUUGCACUUUGUGCUAAUUUUGAAGCAAAUAGACCGUUUAGGUGAAUAGCCCAAACAUUUAGAUUUUAGUUGUGACUAUUAAUUCCUAAAUCACCCAACAAAUACUCUGAUAAGCGAAUCCUUACCGUUGGUGAUUGAAUGUUCCAGAAGUUACCAUUGUAACGAGAUGUUAUGCAUUAAUUUCAAUUACCUAGUAUCCAAAAGUUGAUGGACUUGUUUUGACCCUCAGAUAUUUGAGUGUUCUUUUAGCCUUCUCAACACAGUUUUUCGCUAAAUUCGAGAGGAAUUCAAUAUAAAGCUGCUCGCUAAGGCAUUGUGAACUACAUUGUUUGACUAUUUGGUAUGCAUGUCACUACUGUACCUCUGUAUAACACAUGUUUCAUUUCCAAGUCUUGGGAAUCCUUUUGAAGGUUAUGAGUACUAAGUUUUUGUCUAGUAUCACAUUUUUACCCUCACACUAACGACCAGUCUGAGCGAACUAUCCUGACCUUAGUGGACAUAUUGCAUUUUGUCUGUUCUACAAUUAGCAUGGUUGUAACACAUAGUUAUCUUUAUUUUAGUUGCUUGUAACUCCGGUUACAAUUUUUGGUUUUGGGUAUGGCACUGUUGAGACGUAGUAUGGAAAUUUUAUGCAUAGCACAUGAUUGACAGAAGAGUAUUGUGAACAAGUAGUUGAAUGAUCGAGAUUACAAUGUAACAAAUUGUGUGCUAUUUGCAUUGUCGCCUGAGAUGGCAGUACGUGAGCGCGAUUGAGGCUCUAAUUGGACGAUUUAUGUGUAUUUCCCAAUGAGAGGCAUGAUGGUAGUAUUUCACCCUUGGGAAUUUGUUCCUUACUUAUCGAGACAAUUGUGAGUUGUCGGUAUUGUGGGUUGCAAACUGUAAUAUCGAUAACUUAAUUGUUAAACUCGUUAAGCAAGUGGACAUUUAGUUCUGUCUACGUUAGUAUUUUUAUUUAUUUAUACAUCUAGUUAUUUAUUUAUCGUUUGGGCUUAACCCAAAGAUACAACACACUCAUCUUCGGAGUACAUGAUGCUACGACUGCGUAGGUGGAAAACUUUCUAUUUUCAAUGUUAAUUUCAGUACAAUUAUUUUAACUAUACGUUAUUACAUAUAUAUGUAUUUUGACGGGAUGUUAUUAUACAUUUGUAAAUGCUCUUGGCUUUAUGUUUUAAUAAAAGGUAUUAUAUUAUAGUAUUAUGCUGAAGGAGAAGGAAAGUAGGAGUUUGGGGGCAUGAAAGAGGAAUCACUGCACUCCGAUCGCGACGGAAUGACAUUCUCUUUUAUGCAACCACUCUAACUUGAUAUCUUCCAUUACAUAUUUAUUUUUCCUAUUGUCUUUUCAUUACUUUUGUAUAACAAGUGAUUUCAAAUUUUGGAGACAAAAUUUUUUUAAGGUGGGUAGAUUGCGACAACCCGUCCCUACAUUGACAAUUUUAUUAAUUUUAAAUGAGUAAAUUGACAAAAAUGCCCUAGAGGUGAGGGUAUUGACUUUUGUUAACCAACUUAUAGUGAGACUUACAAAAUAUUCUUUUAGCGUAUUCCUGUAGUACUUAACAAUACGAAUGUGUGGGGGCAAGUAGAAUCGAAAUUGGAGUUAAGAUAGGGGUUUUAUGGAACUAUAAAUCCGAAAAGUACUUUUGUAAAGAUGACUGUUUAUUAUUUUAUAUAUUUCUCAUAAUUAUUAUAAUAUUAUUUUGCGAGAAAUGAGGGAAGAGAGAUCAACGACGGAGGAAAAAAGGCAGAAAACAGAGGGGGCUGCUGCCCAAUAUGAGGAAAGAAAUGAGGGGGCUACUACCCAAUCAGAAAGAAGAGAAAGAGAGAGUGACCAACCAAAGAGGAGAGAAAGAAGGGGAAAGGAAAGAGGUGCAAAGCACCCAAACGUGACCCAUACACCCACACACCCAACCCGAUUUUGACCCGGAGGGUUUUCCGGCCAUUCUCAUCCAUUUUUCAGGGGAUUUUCACCCAUUCACCACCACCAAACCUUAUCACCACAUCCCAACAUCCAUUCCUAGCUAAAAUCGACACGAAUUGGUUGAGAUUUCAUGAAGAAAUACCCCGUAGGUGCCGCAGAGGGCAUUUGAAGUUUUUUUGAGCCAGUCGUGUGCAAUACACGCUCGCAUGGCCGCACAUCCCGACAACAACAAAUGGGGGUGGCCCACCAGCGCAUGAGCACUGAGAUGAUCAGAUGGAUGCCACAUGUUCGUUUCUAGGCUGUUGGAUUUCAAACAGCUAGUUUUCUGGACCAUUGGAUUUCCAACGGUAAAAAAAAUUGAAAUUUAAAAUUAAUGGGUACUGACGUGGCACAAUGAAGACCGUUCAAUUUUCAGAUUAAUAGUCCAGAUUUUUCAACCAAAAAACUUAAUAAAUAAAUAAAUAAAAAUAUCAAAAAUAAUUUUAUAAAGUUAGAAAUUAAAAAUAAAAUUAUUACUUUUUUAUUAUUUUAUAAUAAAAAAUAACAAUAUUUUAAUAAAUUGACUAGGCUAUUUUUUUGUUAGAUGUAGAGAUGCAUUUGGCCUAUUACUAUAAAUUGGGGUCUAUCACUAUUCACUGAGUGGAUUAAAUAGGAUGGGUGCUGGCACAUCUUUUUAAGGGUAGACUUUCUCUUAAGUGUCGUGUGGUAAUAAAGUUUCAGAGGUGUUUUGCUUUGCAGAAAGCCUGGGGUAAUGCUAAAAUAAUGGUGAUGGAAUUAUGAUGAGGUAAGAAGCCUAGAUAAGCUAGGCUUUUGGUCAUGAUGGGAUAAGUCAGGAUAGGCUUUUAUCUUGUUUGAAAAGUCAGCCAUUUGGAUGAUAGGCUUCAACCUAUAAAUUAAAUAAGGAAAUAGUGAUGUGAUACAGCAGGAGGUUACCAUGCAUGCAUAGAUAAAGAUUAUGAAAUGAUGGUGGGACCAAAUAUCCUUGGCAGGAUGCCAAGAAUUUUAAUCAAAUGGCAUCACUUACAAGAUUUGGAGAUAAAGUGGCAGUACAUCAGGUUGCUACAAAUGAACACGUGGCUUUAGUUUGCAUGAGAUGAUUAUUUGGGGUUUGAGAGAUUUUUCAGUGUGAUCGACACACGAGGUGGUACACCACAUGUCACUAUACAAAUGGUGGGAUAUGUGUGUUAAAAAGUUAAUAACUUAAAAAAUAAAAUUUUCAACCACUUACAUAAAAACACGUGGUGUACCACUCGUGUUCCGGUCACAAUAAAAAAUUUCUCUUGGGGUUGAGCUUUGAAUUAAUUAAAUGUGUCAAAAUGAGAUAAAGAUAAGUCAAACAACUAAAACAUGGGCUUUGGCCUGCGUAACGUAAAUCGUUUUAUGAGUUUGAAAUGCAAUUGGAUUCUGCAACAAGUGUCAGCGGCCAAAGCCAGUAUAGCCGCUGGAUAAAUAGUAUUGGAGCCGUAGAAUCAGCCGACCGAUGAGCACUUUCAAUUUGGAUAAACAGCACUGCUUCAAGACCAACUAAUUAUUUAUCCAAGUCUCAGUCAACAAGGAUUUUCGAGUCCUUGUUGGUAGAGGUCAUCUCAUCAGCCUUCUUGGCGAAAUGAGGUGUUACCAGGUUACUACAUUCAGCACAUUGAAAGCCGAAUUUGAUAUUGAACUUCGUAGAACUAGUAGCCUUGUCUUCAGGCUCUAAAACCCCGAAGGCCUAGACGUGUUCCUUUCUCGGCCGCAGUCACAAAAUCAAGAAGUCAGCAGCGCGCCCAAUGCCACAUCAACAUAUUUUACUCCCCGACUGAACUCGGUCGACGAGUUGGCACACCCUGCACACAACUAAAGGAUGUAGUUAGUUUAUUAAUUACUCGGCCUGCGAGCCAUGUAGGCUUGAUAAUUUUUAAGAAAAAUAGAAACACACAUCCACAUAGUUAUAAUUUUUGUUUCCAGUUAGGGUUUGAUGCUUUCUUUUUGCACAAUCAACACUAAUAAUUUCAGUUAGAUCCAGAUCCCCUCCUGACCUUUAAAAACUGAGCUUGCUGAGCAAACAAUCUUGGCCGUUUAAAUUUGAUCCAACGACUACAAACAGAGAGGUCCACUAAAAGUUAUAAUAAUUGUAGUCGUUAGAUUAAAUUUCAACAGCCACGAUUGCCUGCUUAGUAGACUCAGUUUUUUAAGGUCAGGAUGAGAUCCGGAUCCAUUUUAGUUAACUGAUUUUCAUAUUAACCUUGGGUGGACAUGACUGAUUUGAUAAAGAAAAAAUGAAAUGUAUUCAACACCCUUUAUAUACACAAUGCGGCAUGGACUCGGAUCAUCUCUUGACCUUUCUGUCCGGAUCCGAAUGAUCAAUUGAUCCUAGCCUUUAAAUGCACAUCAUACGGUUAUAAUUAAUUUUAUCGUUUUAAUGGGCUUCUCUUGACUCUCCUUUUUUUUUAUCUCCUCCCUCAUUUCUUUUUCUCUCCUCUCUCAUUCUAUCUUUUUCUUUCCCUUUCACUUAGUCUUGUUUCUAGGGGUGGGCACGGGCCGGACCGAGCCUAAAAUUGAAGGGCCCGGACUAGACCCGCUUGAAAAUACAAUAGGCCGGGCCAGGCGAAUUUUAUUAUAUUAAAACCGAGAACCGGACCUAACCCAGCCCAUAUAAAACGGGCCGGUUCCUACGGGUACAAACUCUUUUUUUCCCCUAAUUUUCAGUAUCCAGAUUUUUCCCAGUAUCAGCCAUCGCCAAAUCCAACACCUAGAACCUAUUCGUGACCCUUUUGGAGGGCAAAACCCUAACCCUAACAUUCACAACCCCAGAGAUCCUCACCACUUCCAUCAAGCACCUCCUAUACAAAAUCUUCAAAUACAAUUUCGAAUUCAUCAAAAAAAUAAAAUAAACUUGAAUCCCUAUGAGAACUAGAGACAUCGUCUUCCUCACGGAUCGAACUAGAGAUGUCGUCUUCAAGCAUUUCUCUUUGACCCUGAAGCACAAAUUGAACCAGAUAUGUCGUCUUCCUUACGGAUCCAAGACCUCCACCCUCGCCAUUACAAAUUACAUCGAAUCAAAACAAAAUCAGAAACCUGCAAAAUUCCUAAAUCAGAAACCUAAGUUCCACUGAUCAUGCUUCGUAAACCCAAAACAAAAAAUUGAAAAUUUAGAGAAUAUAAAUACAAAAUUUAAUUCAAUCAACCCACGAUGGUUUCGGAAAUUCACAUAAAAAGGGAGAGGGGGAGAGGAAGAGAGAAAGAAACUUACGAUGUUGCCAACGAUUGUUAUACGAGCCGAGCUACAACGGAGGCCAUGGAAGCUCACGCGGUGAUAUGGUUGGAACGAGGGUGGGGUGUCAGAUAGAUCAAAGGAAGAGACUCGGAAUGGUGUUGGAGAGAUCAAGGGUGAGGGGAGACGGUGAGGACGAUGGUGAUGGUGGCUGGCUCGGAAUGGUGUUAGAGAGAUCAAGGGAGGAAACUCGGAGUGGUGUUGGAGAGAUCGAGGGUGAGAGGAGACGGCGAGGAUGAUAGUGAUGGUUAUGGUGGAUGGCUCAGAGUGGUGUCGAAGAGAUCGAGGGUGGGGUGAGUUUGACAUUUAAGUGAAUAGGUGGGUAGAGAGAUAGACUGAUAGAGGGUUAUUCAUUUAGGUGGGCAAUGAACGGUCCGGGCCGAGGGCUCGUUUUCUCCAAUUUUUAAAACCGGCCCACCCCGUUAUUUACAAAGACCCGCCCCGUCCCGUUUUGUAUUUAUAAUUUUUUGACCCGUCCUGUACCCGUGGGUCCAGGACCCGUUUGCCUACCCCUACUUGUUUCCGGAUUGUUGCAUCUCGUCUCUCUCAUCUCACAUAUGAAAAUUUGAAGCAACAUAAAUAUUAUACCAACUGGACUACCUUUGGUUCUGGGAUGUCGAAAGAGCCAUUUUGUUGUUAGUCUCAAACAGAAAUCAAGUAACUCAACAAAUUAGACACCCCAAGAUCAGAUCUUUAUCACCGACCUUCAACCCAAACCCCUGAAUUCUUUUCUUCACCCAACCAAGAAAAAACAAAACCCCAGGAGCAUAAGUAGAGAAAAAGACAUAAGCAGAGAAAGGAGAGAGCACAACACCUAGAAAGAAAAAAGACAUAAAAUCAAGACACAAAAGGAGACAAGAAAACCAUUAAAAAGAAAAAUUAAUCAAGAAAAAAAAACCAGAAGGACAGAACAUAGCAUGCAGAUGGAGAGAAGUAAAAUAAAAAGAGAGAAAGGAAAGCACCGCAAGCCUGCAUGAGGAGGGAGAAUAAAGAAGAACACAGAAUGAGAGAGAAAGGAGAGAGCACUAGCACGCAAAAAGAGGAUAGAAAAAUAGAGAAUGACAGAGAAGAAACAAUUAAAAGCAAUUUAAUUAGUAACCAUAGGAUUGCAUCGAACGGCCAAAAUCAAUUGGUCCGUCGGAUCCUGGUAGAAAGUUCCGGAGAUGAUAUGAGUCCAAUGGGGCACUGGGCAUCAAAGAACAAAUCCUUGGAGUACAAGUAAAUUAAGUACAUAUGUGUAAGAAAUAAAAUAUUUGGUACUUAAGAAAGAACAGGACUUGGCUGCUGAUUCUUUUAGCAGCCAAGUUCUAUACCCUAAGAAAUCCUAUUUAGAAUAUCCAACAUUCAUGAAGGAAUAAAUAAGUUAGUAAAUAAUAUUUUUAAACUACACCUACUUCAGUAAUAAUCUCUCUAAAGUUAUAAAAUUUGUUUGCUCCCAGCUUUAUGGGCUUUACUACAUAACAUAUUAAUGCGUGAAGUACCCAUCUUUCCAAUCACUUUUUGUCAUUGAUCACCACUUCGUUGGUUUAAUUUAUUAUUGCUAAAAUAACCCAAUUUCUAAGAUACGGUAUUAGAAAAGACAAUCAAAAACCUAAUUUGGAAGCAAAAUACAAUAAUAUAAGGUAUUUUGUUUGUGAAUGCAAAAUCCAAACUUGUUUCUAAUUUGAAAACCACCCUUGAACAGAGACACAUGUAUUUUUAAAAUGUAUAUAACAUGAAAAGUAGACGGCGAAAGCGAGGGUUUCUCAGAGAAGCAAACAGAUCAUAAGGUCAAGAUUCGGCAAACAAUCCUAAUGGUUUCCCAUGAAUAGCUAGGGCGGGCCCCCGUUUCAUGUGGAGGCUAACGACAUUCGAAGGUUCGCAGUAGGAUUCCCUUGACUCGUUUUUGCUUGCUGGGCACGAAGCUUCAACUAUAUAGAAGCGUACAAGUUUCAGUCAAGCUCCUCCUUCUUUCCAAACCCUCUGUAAAAAGGUGCAAAGAAUAUUUUGCAGAAGAUUAAUUACUUCAAUUGCUACUAAGAGACUUUAUACAAAGAGAGAUCUUGCCGAAGAAGUAACCUAGCCUACAUUCUAGGUUUUACAAAUAUUCACAAAUCAAUUACAAACAAUUUACAAAAUAGUUUCCUAAAACUAAGCCAAGAUAUCAAGAAUGAUAUCAUUGACUUCUCAACACUCCCCCUCAAGUUGGAGAGUGGACAUUGAGAACUCCCAACUUGUGAAUGAUAUUUGAGAAAGUUUCCUUCCCUAAUGGCUUCGUGAGUACAUCUGCAAGUUGAUUGGAAGAAGGAACAAAUCUCGUAACAACUUAACCAUCUUGUAUCUUGUCCCGGAUGAAGUGACAGUCCAUUUCUAUAUGCCUAGUUCGCUCAUGAAAAACUGGGUUAGCAGCAAUGUGAAGAGCUGCUUUAUUGUCGCAAUGGAGCAGAGCCGGUCUUUGAUGUAGUAUACCUAGGUCUUUCAAUAAAUAUCGUAGCCAUGAUAAUUCACAACAAGUUCCAGCCAUGGCUCGAUACUCGGCCUCCGCUGAUGAUAAAGACACAGUCUUUUGUCUCUUUGACUUCCAAGAAAUCAACGAAGAGCCCAAAAAAAUACAAUACCCUGUAGUUGAUCUUCGUGUUGUUGGACAACCUGCCCAGUCCGAGUCACAAUAUGCAUUUAAGACCAAAUCAUUCUCAGAAGAGAAGAACAAACCUUGUCCAGGUGUAUUCUUGAUAUAUUCAAAAUCUGAAGGGCUGCUUCCAUGUGUGGUGUGCAGGGCUCAUGCAUAAACCUACUCAACACAUGCACGGAAUAGGUUAUAUUUGGCCUAGUGAUUGUUAGGUAUAUCAGACGCCCCACCAAUCUUCUAUAUUUUGUCAGGUCUUUGAGGAUUGCACCAUUGUCUGAUAACUUAAGAUUCUGUUCCAUGGGAAAUUCGACGGGGCAAGCUCCCAAAAGACAUUCAUCUUUCAAUAUUUCUAAAGCAUACUUCCGUUGGGAAAUAAAGAUCCCUUUCUUAGAACGUGAUACUUCAAUCCCAAGAAAGUACUUCAAAUUGCCAAGAUCCUUGAUUUUAAAAUGACCAUUAAGGAACCGUUUAAGGGCAUUGAUAACACUCGAAUCAUUACAUGUAAUCAAAAUAUCAUCAACAUAAAUUAGGAAGGCUGUAAAAGACUUGCCUUGUGUCUGGGUAAACAAAGAGUAGUCAGCCUUGGAUUGUACAUAACCAGUGGAUUGAAUCGAGUCAGAAAACUUUGCAAACCAUUGAUGAGAAGCUUGUUUCAACUCAUAUAAAGACUUGCUAAGGCGACAAACCAAGUUCUCCCCAUGUCGCCGAAGACCUGGAGGAAGAGUCAUAUAAAUUUCUUCAUGAAGGUUACCAUGAAGAAAAGCGUUGUUAACAUCUAGUUGAUGAAGAAACCACUGCCGGGAAGCAGUAAGAGCCAAAAAACACCGAACCAUGACCAUUUUGGCAGUGGGAGAAAACGUGUCAUGGAAAUCAACACCUUCAAGCUGGGUAUAGCCCUUGGCAACCAAACGUGCCUUAUAAUGCUCAAUGGAGCCAUCAGAACGAUGCUUAAUCUUGUAAACCCAACGGCAACCAAUGGUAGUUUUGCCACGAGGAAGAGCAGUAAGAGACCAAGUGCGGUUAGCUUCCAAUGCCUCUAAUUCAGAAGCCAUGGCAGCUUGCCAAUGAGGAAAACGAGCAGCUUCCUCAUAACUCUGGGGUUCAACCUGUUGAGUAAUAUGGGCAAGGAAAGAUUGUUGUGCAGUUGAGAAACGAUGGUAAGUAAGGUAAUUAGCGAGUGGAUACCGCGUACCUGGAGUGGGACCAGACGACGAAGACGAUGGAGGAAGAGGUUAGGUAAGCUUGAGAGUAAGACAAUCAUAAUCACGUAACUUGGGUGGCGGAGAAGAAUGACGGCUAGAGCGACGGAGCACCGGGGUAAGAGCUGGCGCUGACAGGGUGAGGUCAGGAACGGUAGAUGCAAGAAGUGUUGCAGGCGCAGGAGAUGCGGCAUCAGCGGAAGGGGAUGACUCAAGUGGAAUCAUAGGGUCAGAUGGGUGGAUAACGGAGGGUGACACGGGACCAAGUAAGUGAGGUGAAAUAAGUGGUGUAGGUGAAGAUACACGUUGAUGGGAAGAUGGAAAAGGUGAGGUUUGAUAAGGAAAUAUAUUUUCAUGGAAGACAACAUCACGACUGGUAAAGAUUUGGUGAGUGGUGAGGUUAUACAGUUUGUAGGCUUUCUGACCAAUGGGAUAUCCUAUAAAAAUGCACUUGUGGGCAUGAGGAGAAAAUUUGUGAGUAACAUUGACGAUAGUGGCAAAAGCAAGGCAACCAAAGACUUUAAGGUGUGAAAAAGUAGGAGGUUUAGAAUAUAAACGUUCAAAAGGCGUUUUCUUGGAAAGAAUGGGUGUGGGAAGACGGUUAAUGAGAUGAACGGCUGUGAGUACACAUUCACCCCAAAAAUGGAGAGGAAGAUUAGCUUGAAAACGCAAGGCACGGGCGGUUUCAAGUAUAUGUCGAUGCUUGCGUUCUACGACCCCAUUUUGUUGAGGCGAAUAAACGCAAGAAUGUUGGUAAAUCACUCCAUGAUCUUUAAAGAAAUCACGAAGGGAAAAAAAUUCCCCACCAUUGUCAACACGGAUUUGACGAAUAGAAGUAUUGAAUUGAGUUUUGACAAAAGAAAAAAAAUUCUUAAGAAUAGAUUGUGUUUCAUUUUUGUGUUGCAUAAGGAAAAUCCAUGUGAAGCGAGAAUAAUCGUCUACAAUGGUUAAAAAAUACUUGGCUCGAGAAGUAGAUGCAACUUUAAAGGGUCCCUAGAUAUCACAAUGAAUCAAAACAAAGGGUUUAUUAGAAGAAAUAGAAUUAACAUUAAAAGGUAAUCGAUGUUGCUUGGCUAAAGGACAAAUAUCACAAGCAUUAUUAGAUGCAAAAAGGAAAUGUAACAAUUGUUUGGACAUGAAAUCUAAACGAGGGGCUAACAAGUGACCCAAACGCCGAUGCCAUAGCUCCGUAGGUGAAAGCACAAGGUUGCAGAAUCGCCGAGGAUGCUGAGGCCGCGCAAGAGCCAAGGCUACCAAGUAGUACAGCCCGCCUCUUCGCUUACCCAAACCAAUCACUGUCCUUGUCGUUAGGUCCUGCAUAACACACCAAGAAGGAAAAAAUGUUACUGAACAAUGUGAUCCACUCGUAAUACGACUUACUGACAUCAAAUCUACUUUAAAGGUAGGCACACAUAGCACAUCUUGCAAUCUAAAAGUAGAACUCAAAGGAAUGUGACCAAUGGAAAGUAUGUGGGCUUUCUCUCCACUGGGUAACAAAACAUGAGACAUUUGCUCAUUUUUAACACCAUUAGUAAGCAAUUCUGGUGAGGAAGUGAUAUGAUCCUUUGCACCACUAUCGAUUAUCCAUCGAUGGAGAUGCAAAGAGGGAUUCAACAAACCUGUCUUAGCGGUAUUGGCCUGUGGUUGUUCAUCACUGCCCUGACCAUUCAUGAUGUGAAGAAUCUAUUGGAACUGGGCAUCAGAAAGCCCAGACAUGACUGACUGCAUCUCCUCUUUGGUGGCUGCAUUUUUCGUGACAUGAUUCGUCGAGGAAGAACCCCGCUCCUUCUUAAGACGAUGGUUCCCUUUCUGUGGUUUAACCUUAUGCAAACGAUGGCCUGGUGGAUACCCAUGGAGUUGAUAGUAGGUAUCAAUGGUAUGGUAAUCUUGAUCGCAAUGAGUACAAUGCAAAGGUUUGCGAUUAGAAGACUUUGAACCACUUUGACGCACAACCAUGGAUGCUGUGCCAGUAGUGACUCGAGAAGAGGCAAGGCUUCUUUGCUUCUCCUCUUGGGAAAUUGAUGCAUAGGCUUGACGAACAGUUGGAAGAGGGUUCAUCAACAGAAGCUACCCUCGAACAGCACUAUAGGAGUCAUUAAGUCCCAUGAGAAACUGCAUCAACUUGUUCCUCUCAUUUUGUGCUCCACAAGUGCAAGAAAUGGAAUCACUGUAGGACGACAACUCAUCCCAUAAGCUUUUCAUCUUCGUGUAAUAUGCAGCAAUAGAGAGUUGAUCUUGUGUAAGCGAAGAAAUGUCCCGUUAUAGUUGAAAAAUUCGAGGAGCAUUACUUUGACAAUAGCGCUCGCGCAAUUCCUCCCAAAUUGCAUGAGCGUCAGUCAUAUAAAGGAUACUGUCAGCAAUAUCCGAGUCAAUGGAAUUAAUAAUCCAUGCUACAAUCAUGUCGUUGCAUCUCUGCCAUGAAGCGUGAUCGUCCGGCUUGGUCUUGACAGAAGGUUGCAUGACAGUGCCAUUAAGAAAGCCAAGUUUGUUUUUGGCACUGAAAGAGAUCUUCAUAGCACGAGACCAAGUUGAAUAAUUAUCUCCAUUCAAGGGCUUCGAAACCAGCAUCAUGGCUGGAUGAUCAGAAUGAUGAAUAAAAAAGGGUUGGAAACAUUAGCCUUUGUAUCGGAAUUGUUUCCAGAAACAACGUCGGUGGCCAUGGCAAACAACGGAAAAGAAUAUGCGAAAAUAACAGAGAAAAAAGGCAGCGGAAGGAACUAGGUUUUCAGCCUAGCUCUCGAUACCAUGUAAAAAGGUGCAAAGAAUAUUUUGCAAGAUUAAUUACUUCAAUUGCUACUAAGAGACUUUAUACAAAGAGAGAUCUUGCCGAAGAAGUAACCUAGCCUACAUUCUAGGUUUUACAAAUAUUCACAAAUCAAUUACAAACAAUUUACAAAAUAGUUUCCUAAAACUAAGCCAAGAUAUCAGGAAUGAUAUCAUUGACUUCUCAACACCCUCUCCCUUAAUUAAUUUGCUCUUUAUUUCUUGCUUUUCUUGCUUGCUUGGAUUUUGGGUUUUGCGGCUUUGUUUCUUUUUAGAGAGAGAGAGGAUGAAGUGUAGUAGUGAGUUUUCUUCCAAACCGGACAGGAAGACAGUGGAGAGAAACAGAAGAAUUCAAAUGAAAAGUCUCUGCUUCAAGCUUGCUUCACUUGUCCCUCCCCAACACUUAAAAACCACCAACUCCAAGGUAAAUAUAGAUCAUUGGGAAAUUUUAUUAUAUAGUACUACUAUAAGUUCAAUAUAUAUAUUAUUCAACUAUAUGUAUAUAGUACUAAUAUACGUUCAAAUAUAUAUAAGCACAGUACUAACAUAUAUGUUAAAAAAAUAUUAUAUGUAAUUAAUUUACCUAUAUGUAAAUUUAUGAUUAGCAAAUAAUAUAUAUUUUGUAGGUAAAUUAAUAAUGAAUCAAAUAACAUUCUUUUAUUUUGUAGGUAACUUAUUUUUCAUAUAUUAUUACAUAUAUUUGACACAUUUUAUUAUUAUAAGAUAUAUGUACAAAUAAUAGGUAAAUUAGAUUCAAAUCAAAUAACAUUGCUUUAUUUUGUAAGUAAAUUAAUUUUGAAUCAAAUAGCAUUCUUUUGUUAUGUAGAUAUUUUAUUUUGUAUGUAUCAAUAUCAUAUAUAUUUGGCACAUUUUAUUAUUAUAUGUACAAAUAAUAGGUAAAUUAGUAUUAAAAAAAUAAUAUUGUUUUAUUAUAGGUAAAUUAGUUUGCAUGUAUUUUGCAUAUAUUGUCACAUCCCGGCCCGAGCCCCUACCACAUCCCGGGCUUGACUCCACCAUAGCACGAUAUUGUCCGCUUUGGGCCCAGACCACGCCCUCACGGUUUUGUUUUCGGGAACUCACACGAGAAUUUCCCAGUGGGUCACCUAUCCUGGGAAUGCUCUCGCCCGAACUCGCUUAACUUCGGAGUUCCGAUGGAACCCGAAGCCAGUAAGCUCCCAAAAGGCCUCGUGCUAGGUAGAGAUGGGAAUAUACAUAAAAGGCUUACAGGAUCCCCUCCCAUAGGCAAUGUGGGAUGUUACAUAUAUGGGUUUGUUAUUAUGUAGGUAUAUUAUUUUUCAUGUAUUUUACAUAUGUUGGGUAUAUUAUUUUUCUUUUUUUAAACAAUCUAACAUUUUAAAAAUUUAAUAUUAGGUGCACUAUUUGAAUUAAAUGUUUUUUUUUGUAGGUAAAUUAUUUUGCCUAAAUUUUACAUAUAUUAGGCAUUUAUAUAUGUGUGUGUGUGUGUGUGAAAUAAUUUACCUAUAUUAAUAUGUAAAAUAUAAUUUUAUUGACUUAAUUAAGCAUGUAUAAUAACAUACUAGACAUGUUUUAUGUUAUUAUAUAUUAGGCAAUGAAUUUAUAACAGUAAUUUUUUUUUUCUUUCUAAAAUCAUUCAUUCUCCCUUACCAUCCAUAUGCAUGGCAUUAAUUAUGUACAUCAACAUUCAAAUAGGGUUUAUCAAAAAAAACAAAAAACAAAAAAAAAUCAAAUAGGGGUAUUUUAGGCAUCCGAAUUUUUUUAAAUGUGUGAAGUCAAAUAUAGUUAAUGAAUUUGCUGAUGUGGAAUCUAGUCAAUGAGUUUUAUUCAAAUAAAAAACUUAUGUCGGGUUUAAUGCGGAGAAAAUUAAGUUUUAGGGGUUAAAGUCAUAUUUUCAGUUUUUUGUUUUUUUGUUUUUUUUUUGUUUUAUCUGUACACCUAGCUUAAAAUUUAGAUAUAAAUUGUGUAUUUUACUCUAUGUUAUUUUGGUUACAAAUUAGGGUUUGGUUAUUGUAAAAGGAGGUAGAGAUCAGAAACAGUCAAUUAAUAUAUAUAAAAGUAAAACCAUAAACGGGACGGAAAUGAAAAUGAAGAUUGUGUAUUGUGACAAGAUUAGUUACAAGGAAAUGAAUUGUGUGUCAGAGAGAGAGGGAGUAGCGGCACAUGUAUGUAUUAGGUUUUUUUUCUUUCCAAAACGUAUGUAUUAGUUAAGUAAGUCAAAUUGACAUUCCUAGUCCAACUUAGAUUCAGUUGUAUAAAUAUACUUUAGCUUUCUAUAUAAUUGAUUGAUCUGGUGAAAUAUACGAAUAUUGGAGCUUUCGAUUUCCGUCGUUCUCUCAAGAGUUUUACCCUAUUUUUGGUUUUCUUCAUAUUGUUCUACAGGGACCAUCAAUGGAGGGACUGCUUCUUAGUUUUUGGGUUGGAAUAAAAUUUCCCUACAUUAUUUAGGACAUGUUAGUUUGUUAGUCUGAAUUCAAUAAUCUAGUAAUGUAACAUAUCAAAUAUUUAGGAUGAGAGAACGCUACUCCUUAACUAAAUAUAUUUCAAUAAAAAUCAAAUUUCAUUAUCGGCUUUAUUAAUUGCAAUAUGCCUUUCUCCCAUUGAUCAGGAUACCGUGUCACAGCAAAAUCAGCUUGAUACUGCGGCAUCCUAUAUAAAGCAACUGAGAGAGAGAAUAGAGAAUUUGAAGGAGAGGAAGGAGAAAGCAAUGUGGUCACAAUUAGGCAGUUCUAAUUCUGACGUUGGUGCUAUUGCUGCCGAAAAUGCCGUAAUGACGGGAUCAAGAUUACCAGUUCUUGAAUUAAGAGACUCGGGUUCCUGCAUAGAAGUUAUGCUGAUUAGUGGGUUGAAUAAGAACUUCAUGUUUUAUGAAGUCAUCCGUGUUCUUGAGGAACAAGGCUGAAGUUGUCAGCGCUAGCUUUUUCACUGUAGGCGAUAAAGUUUUCCACUCGAUGCAUGCUCAGGUACUAAAACAAUCAUCCGAGAAGCUAAUAUCGUCUAAUCCUUUAUUUUGAUCUUAAAAAAAAUGUACUAAAACAAUUAAGGUCAUUAUGAAAUGGACUUAUCAAUUUUAUUUUGGCAUAAUCGGAUAAAUGGUCCCCGUGGUUACAAGGUAUUCAGAAGAUAGCCUCUGUGGUAAAAAAAUUCGGAUUUAAACCCCUGUGGUCUAAGUCUGUUAGGAUUUACGCCCGAAAUUAGAACUUCUGUCAUUCCUCCGUUAGUAGCUUGUAGGUGGGUCUCACAGGUAAGACUAAGGUGGUCAUUUCAUCAUUUCCAUUUCAUCUCUUCCAUUGAUCUCCUUUCAGAACGAUCAUGAUGGCCACAACCGCACCGCCAAACUUGUUGUCGAUGUCUCCUCUUCCUCGCCACGAAAACAAAUCAAAAUCUUUCAGACCCUCAAAUGGUUACACAUCUUCCUCAAACCCUCUUCAAAAACCCCUAUGUUAUCUCCAAAUUCGGGCCUUUCUCGUGCCCAAUUUUGUGUCUCCGACUCUCUGGCCACACCCGCCAUCACCGGAGUUGCGGACAAGAACGCCAAGAUUAACAAGUAAUGCGAAAUGGGUAAUCUGAAAUCCGCCAUGGAAAUGGUGUCGGGGGCUCAAAAAUCCAAGCUUGACUUGGAGGCUUACUGCUCAGUUGUGGAGCUAUGUGCUGGAAUGAUGUCGCUGCAAGACGGAAAAAGGGUUCACUCAAUUGUCUGUGACAAUGGUGUGGAAGCUAAUGGGAAACUGGGUGCAAAAUUUGUGUUUAUGUAUGUAAGGGAUGAAAUGGAAAUGAUGAAAUGAUCAUCUUAGUGUUACCCGUGAGACCCACUUGCAAGCUAUUAAUGAAGGUAUGACAGAAGUUCUAAUUUCGGACAUAAAUCCUAACAGACUUGGACCACAGGGGUUUAAAUCCGAAUUUUUUUACCACAGAGGUUAUCUUCCGAAUACCUUAUGACCAUGGAGACCAUUUAUCUGAUUAGACCUUUUAUUUUUUAUGCUUCUUUGUAGGUCAAAAUUUCUAGAGAUGGAGUAGACAAUUCAACGGUAUGGCAGAGACUACAGGAUUUGUUGUACUGAGUAGCUAGCUUUACCUCUUGAAAACUGAAGAUUUAUAAAUAAUGUUUUAGCAACUGCAUCAUGAAAGAGCUCCGGAAGGAGAGGCUUAAUUAGGAUAUAGAAACUGAUGUUCCCUGUUUCCUGGGCGAGCCAUUGAGUUAAUAAUUAACGAAUCUAUUAAUAUAUACAGAUGUGAUCUGGUGUUAACUUUUUGUUUAUUGUCCCUUUUCUAAAUUGGUCUCAAAGUAUUGAUUCUUAACCAUCUUUUUAGAAAAUAAUUAGAUAAUUUCAUGUUUAUACACAAGAUUACACAUAGAAUAGAGGGUGUUGAAUCCUUAAUGAUGCUACAACAGCAUAAUAUUCUCUCUCAUGGAAUAAGGAUUAAUUAAUGAUCAUAAACAAGUUUCAAACUCGCAUCUAUAUAUCGUCAUUGCCUUACAUUAAUAGAGGAAGUGAAGGUUAGGGUUUUGAGAGGAGGAACGUGGUUGGAGACAAUGGCGUAGCCACCCACAAGGCUAAGGUGGGUUGUAGCCCAGCGAGGUUUUCUGUAAGAGUAGUACUAUCUAUGCACUCAUUUUUACUUCUCAUAUACCCUUCUCGAUUUUCGGUUGUUCAAAUUGAAUGAGUUGGAGAUGAUCAUUGACAGAUAAUUAAUAAGGCUAUGUUGGAAGUACAAAUGGGUUUGCGAAUAUAACUAUUUUUUUGUAAAAUCAUGUUUAUAGCUUACCCAAUUUCAAUAGAGAUUAUUAUUUAAUGUAUAUUUUAUAGAGGUUAGGUAAUAAAUAAUACGUUUUAUGCUAAAAAUUAUAAAUUAAUUCUAUCUCCAGCCCCUCUUUAUCAUAUUCUUUAAAGAAAAGACCAUUUACCCUAUGUAAUUUAGCCUUUGUGCUUUUUACUCAAGAAAAGAAAAAUAAUUUCUUUAAAUCCAUAAUUAAAUCCUUAUCUCCGCAAUUCCUUAAUUUCCGUUGCGAUUUUCCAAUAAAUGUCACAUUUGGUACUUUCUUAAUCUCUAUAUUUACUUAUUCUUGAUUUAAUUAGUAGGUUAAUUAUUUAUAUGGUCCAUGAAUUUAUCGGUUAGGGUUAUGAUUUUGAGAAUAGUUUAUAUUAUAUUGUUGUUCUUUUGUAUUGAUUAUUAUAUAAGUUUAUAUAAGCAAAAAAUAAACAUAUGAUUUUAUAGUACUAUUUUUAAUUAGCCCAUCCAAAGAAAAAAUCCUAGCUCCACCCUUGGUUGGAGAGAAGAAAGGCGAGCUAGGGUUUUGGGUUUGUGCAGCAGAGAGGCAAACCUAUACCAUUUAGAAAUAGGGAACUUUAACGAAAAGCACCCGGUACUGUUCACUUUAACGAAAAACCACAUUUUUAUACUAAAAAGUCAAUCCUGGUACUAUUCACUUUACCCUUUAUUUUGUCCUUAUCAUUAAAACUCAAAGUUUUCAAGCCCUUUUCAUUAGUUUUCCUUUAGAAAUAUGUGUAACCGUGGUGCAAACGUCCAUUAUCUAUAAACAAAGGGAGCACCCAAAAUGGUGAAGCAUUCAAAUACCAUAUAUUGUCUGUCCCUCAUGAAUUCAAAAUUUGCAAUUGAAUUAAAAAGAGUUAGCCAAAGGCGAAUUUGAACCAUAUUAUUGCUAGCUCAUUGUAAGGCUUAACCUACUCCCCCACCCUCAUAGUGUAGAUAAUAUCGCUUGUUAAAAAAAAUAAAAAUUCAACACACGUUGAUUUUGAUGAUUUAAACUUUAAAAAUUUAGGAAAAAAAUAACAAAAAUAGAAAACCCCCAUUAGUGGGUGGUUUAUGAUUUGUGACAUCCUUUCCCAAGAUUUAUCGUAUUUUAUUAUCAGUAGUAGUGAAAUUAUCAAAAUGCCCCUGAGAUGCCACGUAGGCCUUCCACGUGGAACUCAAUUUUCCUUUCACUUUUCCAGUCUUAUUUUACUAUUUUCAAAUAGUACUUAUUUUUACGAACACGUGGUUGCAGACGGAACUCAAUUCGGAGUUAUAACGAACAAGUUAUGUUCGAAACUGUGUAAAAAUACGUACUUAAGGCAAAUCCUAAACUUGGAAAUUUCCCACAUGCAACGCACAUCCUUGUUGGAACAUUAUUGAGUGUUGAGUGGGUCUUCGUGCAAUGGGUGGACCCUUGCAAUUCUUAUUUCCUAGAUAAAAACUCACCUAAUUCUAAACAUCCAAAUAAAAUCCAAAUUUGAAAAAGAUUGCCAAGUAGAAAAGUAAUUGACCUAUUAUUACAAAGGUCGUAGCUUUCGAAACAAAGGUCGUAGCUUGCCCAAAUGUAUAUCCUUUUUUGGCACCCUCAACACCUUCUCUACAUCGGCCAGCUCUCGCCCAGGCAGUUUGAUGGUGCCUUGGGUCACUGCAUGAAAAAAAAUGUUAGAAGCAAGUAGAAAUCACAACAAAUAGCAAACAAUGCGAACAAUGGAUGCAUUACAACCUACAGUCUAGAAAUGAGUAGGAACACAUCGCUCAGGUGUGACACCCCUAGCAUGCUCUUAAUCCUUAUAAAGAAGGCACCAACGGUUUUUCCAAGUACAGUACGCCUUUUUCUUACCAAAGACAAUACGCUCCCUCUCACUUCGACACGCACACUCGGCAUAACCAGUGCAUAACUUCACUGGACACAUCUUAUAGCAAUAGCACCACUGAUGGAAGGAAGGCUCACAUAACCCACACUUCAUCCAAAUAAUAUAAAACCCGAUCAAGGUCUCCCAAAAACCAGGGUUGAGUUGCCCAGGUGCAUAUCCAAUGAGAGAUAGCCUAUGUUGCAACUAUGGGUGCAAGGGUAGCUUCACCCCUAAUAAAUUCACUAGUAUUUGGGUGUAGAACAUGACGUGACCCUUGGGCAGCUCAGUGAGCAAUUCUUCAUAACGCACCAAGCACAUUCCUACACUACAGGGUAUGCUACAUGACUGCCUUAGGGCAUCAAGUUGUUCUUCGCUAUCUAACAAGUUUUUAUCUAAAUGGUCCGUUGGGAACUCAGAGCGAAAGAUGAGUAUUACGUCAAGAGCAAUCCCCUCACCCACCGACAUGAAUGAGGAAGAACCAAUAUUGGCUAAGGUUACAUCCUUCAACCUACACUCCUCACUUAUCCCUUCAUCGGAAGCCUCGGGAGAAAAACGUGUAAUGCAUGUUUGACGAUUAUGAAGAUCAUCCAAUGUUUCUUCUGUACAAGACUCUAACAAAGGCCCUAAAGAAUCUGACAUUGCAGGCUCAAACCUAGAGCUAGAGCUAGGGAAAGCCUCAUCACUAGAACCUCCAAGCUCUGACAUCUAUAACAAAUAGAAACAAACUCUAUCACAACGUGAAAGAUCGAAACCUAAGAAGUUCCUAGGGCAUGAAACAAAGCUCAACCAGUUCAUCAUGUUCUUAGCUAAAUGCAUGAAUACUCAAACAAUUCAACAAGAAUGAAAGCAUUUAAUCUAAUGGAGAAGACUACCAACCUGAAAAUGGUGCCAAGCACUGCCAGAAUCACUCCCAACUAGAGAGCACUUUGUCUUCAAAAAUCACUACAAAAUGAGCAAAUGAAGGCAAUGUAAAGAGUGGAAACUUAUCCUUCUUAUAUAGUUCAACAUGGCCAAAGAAAUUCAAAAUUUAAAUUCAAACCAUGAGAAAACCCCACAUGGAAAGUCUUCAAACUUCCACACAAGCCAGGGAGUUUCAAAUUCCAAAUUUCCAGUUUCCCAAAAAAAAAAACAAAUAAACAAAAAAAAAGGAGUUUUAACGAAAUACCCGCGGUACUGUUCACUUUAAUGAAAAACCACAUUUUUAUACUAAAAAGUCAAACCUAGUACUAUUCACUUUACCCUUUAUUUUGUCCUUAUCGUUAAAACUCAAAGUUUUCAAGCCCUUUUCAUUAGUUUUCCUAAAAAAAAAAGGGAAACACAACAACUUCAUCAAUGGAGGGCAACUACAAUUCUUAAAAGCUUCACACACUCUUGAUCAAGAUAGUGUGAAGCAAAACCCAUUUAUGGUGCCAACAAAUAUUCAUCAAUAGAGGGCAACCACAAUUCUCAAAAGCUUCACACACUCUUGAUCAAGAUAGUGUGAAGCAAAACCAAUUUAUGGUGCCCAACAAAGCUUCAACAAAUGUAGGGCAACUAUAAAUGUCAAAAGUUUCACACACUCUUGAUCGAGAUAGUGUGAAGCAAAACCAAUUUAUGGUGAUCAACAAAAAGCUUCACUUACAAAGCUUGAACAUAAAAGCUUCACCUACAAAGCUUCAACCACAAAGCUUCACCUACAAAGCUUGAACAUAAAAGUUUCCCCUACAAAGCUUCAACUACAAAGCUUCACCUACAAAGCCCCAACAUAAAAGCUUCACAUACAAAGCUUCAACCACAAAGCUUCAACUAUCCAAGCUAGGUGCCCAAACAAAAACCUACAACCAAAAACCUACAAUCAAUAAACCCACACCCAUUACACUACAACAUACAAUAAACUAAAAAAUCACAAAACCCAAGAUUCUCUUGAAUAUGUACAAUAACACAUGUUUAAACAUAAACGAUUUUUGUUUACAUCCACAAGGUCCCUAUCAUAAACAGACAUUCAUGUCCUAUUAACAUUGUUGAUGCACAAAAUCAAUGGGGAUUUUGCUACAACAGAAAGUGUUAAGUUUGUAACCUUUGCUAGAUUGCUCCGGUCACAAGUGUGGAUAAAUAUGCAAAUGGAUAGAGACAGAGAAGCAAACGCAAGAUGUACGUGGUUCACCCAGAUUGGUUACGUCCACAGAGUAGAGGAGUUCUCAUUAAUUGUGAAGGGUUUACACAAGUACAUAGGUUCAAGCUCUCCUUUUGUGAGUACUAGUGAAUGAUUUAGUACAAAUGACAUUAGGAAAUAUUGUGGGAGAAUGAUCUCCUUUUAUAGAAGAGAGUUUCUAGCUUUGUUCUUACAUUGACACAUGUCGUGUUAUGAUUAGCUUUUGAUGUUAACACAUGUCACGCUAUGAUUGGCUUCUGAUGUCAACACGUGUCGCGCUGUGAUUGGCCUCCUGGUUGGAGGGAAACUCUUCUGGGUCUUUAACGGUAUAACGUUGACCGGUGCUUAGUAGUUUCGGGAUUGAUCAAGUAUGGUAUAAACAAACAUGAUAGCUCCUUUUUUAAUAUUAUUAUUCCUAUGUAUGUGAUAUUGCAUACCACUACCAGAAAACGUGAUAUCACACAUACUUCUAUUAUAUAUAUAUAUAUAUAUAUAUGAUUUCAAACAGAUUAUAAUAGAUUAAAAACAAGUCAAAAUUCCAAGUUCAAUGGUGGACAAAAAUACAAGAAAUUCACCAAUAGUGAAGGUGCUACAAAAACUUAAAUCUUCUCUAGACUUUUAAACCUCAACAGCGACAAGGGUAAGCUUCCAAGCACCAAACCCCUUCACAGUCACGACAAAACCUAAUUUUCAGGAACAAACCCAGACAUUCUGUUAUCCGCAAAGCCCUGCUACCCAAACUCUCGAAGCUUGUAGAUCACAAAUGGCACCCAAGUCAGCCACAUACGAAGGCCUUUUGCAACUCACAACCUUCCUCUGAACUUCUGCGACCUACAAAAGCUUCAACAACAGUCUAAUCAACAACCCCUUGUCUGGAAAAACUCACGAAAAAGAUAAGAGCAUCUUUAUCUUCUUUUUCAACUCAUUGUUUAUUACUUUAAUAUUAUGUUGACUAAAAGCAUAUCACAUACACACCAUUUUAAUCCAUUAAACACAUGGGUAGGCUGAUCACAUUCACCUAAAACCCUAUUUAAUCCAUACACCCACUACACCAUUUAUAUUACUAUUGUUAUUAUUACAUGACAAUUGCUAAUCACGUGGCAUAGACUGAUCACAUCACAUACCUGAUUCUCACAAUUAUUAUUUUAUUUGACAAAACCAGUUCUAUGACUUGUCUUCUUGUUAAAUAAAAUGCCGAUACACAAAUAAAUUAUUAUUUUAUAAUUUUUACUAAUGUUCUAUUGAUAUAACAGUUUUAUCAUGGGACAUGGCAACCGUACCACAUACAUUCUAUGGAACCAAAAUUAUUGAUCGAUGAGCCAUGUGCUUAUUUUGACAACUGGGCUACUAGCAAGACACCUCAUUCGGCAAUUCUUCUGGCCUGAAGAGUUGGGGGACUUCCACUAUAUGCUACUACACCAUGGUACUCGAUAGUUUUGUGACUACUCAAUGACUUAGAUCUUUGACUUAGAUCUUUCAAGUCCCCAACCGAGAAGCUUUCCUUUCUCAGGAAAUUAAGGGAGCACUGUGGCAACCUAAAGGCUUCACCCAGAAAGCUUCAACAUACAAGCUUUAACAAAAAAAAAAUUCAAAAGCUUAGUGAAGUAUGCCUUAGUGUAUUUAACACAAUACAUUGAAUGAAAAAAAAGCUUAUUCAUUGAUAUCUUCGAUAAAUUACAGCUAUGUGCAUACACAUGAAUCAAAACAAACAAACAGGAAUGAGUCUUCACAAAAGUUGUUCAUGAGAAGCCUCAGGACUCGGCAAAGCCCCAAAAAGAGAAGGCACCAGAGAGUGAUUAUUUGGAGCCUCAGCACUAGGCAAAACCCUAGAAAGAUGAGGCACCAGAGGUUGAUCAUUUGGAGCUUCAAUACGUGGUAAUGCUCUAAAAGACUGAGGCAAUAAAUGCCUUUGGAACAAACCCACAAACCUUUGGUGAUCACUUAAAAUCUAACUCUCGGAUUCCUGCAGCCGGUCAAGCUUCAUAUUCAUGCUCGUGGAGUAGUUAUGUGCAAGUGUGUGCAACUAUCUAUUUUCAUGCUUGAGCCCUCUAAUUUCUUGUUUGAGACUUGCCACCUCAAUCGUCAAUGAUUCAACUUGGCGGGUUCGAGCGAGUAAGCGCUGACCCAUAUUGGAUACAGAACCCGUGCAUUGAACACUAAGAGACAGAGAAUCCUGAACAGCCAACACAUUGGACCGUUUGGAAAAUAUCAUGUUAUCUUUGGGAGUGAGAAGAUUCUUGGCCACCACCAUAGCAGUAAUGUCAUUCUUCAUCACAGAGUCCCCAACGGUAAGAGGACCAGUAGGGGAUAAGAAGGAUACGUACCAUAUGUUGUCUUGAGGAGACAUGGAUGCCUCUUCCACAACAUUCAAGUCAAAACGACGGUCAAAUGGGCAAGCCAUUUCAGAAAUGAUGAAGGAAAAAUAAGGUCCAAUAAAUCUCAGAAGUACAAAAGUAGGGGGAAAUUUCUAUGAGCAGUAACUUUCUGAAUGUACUUCCUGAACACAAUUGGUGCCCUAAUAAAAGAAAGGGCAAUAGUACUGCUUGUUCAAAAAUUAAAGAGGCACCGCUCUCUGAAUUUUGAGAGUCAGAUUUCCCUGGAUAAAACUUGUCUGCAAUCUACAUACGUUGCAGCCUUCCGGAUACCACGGGUAACUUUGCCAAAUAUCUCUGACAAAGUUAAGACACGUGAAUUUUGAAGGUCCAGCUACCAUACUAUUACCCACCAGGGUAAAGGAACAACACCACUACUUGCUAAUUAGAAAAUCCCUAGAUGUGUCGACCUCCGUCCUCUGUGGUCAAGCAUACUUACGAGUAUACCUAAUUUUUCCUCAUCUCCAAGAUUGCGUCUUCAACAGAUUUGCUUGUUCAAAAAUCGAAGAGGCAACGCUCUCUGAAUUUCGAGAGCCAGAUCUUCAACAGGGUUGUUUGUUCAAAAAUCGAAGAAGCAUCAUUCUCCGAAUUUUGAGAGCCAAAUUUCCCUGAAUAAAAGUUGUCUGCAACCUUUACACGCAACAUCAGCUUUUUGGAUACCAUGGGUAAUUUUGUCAAAGAUCCCUAACAAAGUUAAAACGCGUAAAUCUCGCAGCUCCCACUACAUCGUUAUGACCAAGAAGGGUAAAGGAACAACAUUACUACUUGCUGUUGGGAAAAUCCUUACAUAUGUCGACCUUCAUUAUCAAUUGCCAGGCAGACCUGCAAAAAUGCCCAACCCUUCCUUACAUUCGAGAGGGAACUCCCAACAAAACCUCUCGAAAUACUCAGCUAUUUUUCCCACCGAUAAUACCUCUGCAAACAAGUCACACUAAAGCAAGAGCAUCUCAUAUCAUCAGGGUCAAAAGCAAGAGUAUCCAAUAUCAUGUUUUUUCCUUAUCUUUUCCUUUGCCCUUGCUCUUACAUGCAAGACAAGGAGAAAGAAAACAAUCAGUCGGAACCUAAAAUCAAACUUCCAAUUUGGAACAAAUUACCCGGAACCUUUGUCUGGUUGCUUACCUAGCAUUACUCUCGAGUACUCAUCCUCAACUGUUGUCAAGGUCACAAAUUCCUUAGGCAAAUACCUCGGAACCAUUCAAAUGCAAAUGUUACUCACCAUUUAUGCUAUGCAAAAGAUUGAAGUAGAGGGUUUAAUGAUGAGCUGGAACAUGUCACUACAGCACAACGCCUUUCUUGCAGAACUGUAUAAUCCAGACGGAUGAGUUUAAGUCAAAUCCAAACUCGGCACCGCCGCCUUAUUUGAAUAGCUCGAGAAGCUUCAACAACUUUUUGCUGGCACUGUCGUCGAAGAGCAAAGUCUCACCAUACCACAUCCACUACUUUGUCAACAACAAAAGUAUCACAUGUCAUCAGGGUCGAACGUACUCUAGAUUUGACGGACUUGUUUUGACCCUCAAAUUCUUGAGUCAGCUCACUUCUUUGAAGGAAACUAGAAAACCCUCCAACCUAGUUCAAGAAUAAGCCCGUGGAAAGUCAACAAGUACAACAAAACACGUGCCGAUUCAUCCGUUGCUCCUUCAAAAGCAAAAGUAUCUCAUAUCAUCUAUUCUCCCUGUCAUUUUCUUUGUCUUUGUUGCUGCUUGCAAAACAAGGAAAAGGAGAACAAUCAGCCAUAACCCGAAAUAAACUUCCGAUCUAAGACUAAUUACUAAGAACUCUAAUUGCUUACCUUGUCUGUCACCUCUUUCGACAAAUCUCCUAGCUCAGCAACUUGGGAGACUUCUACUAUAUGGUUUGUAUAACACUUGACCAAGCCCAAAACUACAAGUAAGCUUCAAGUGAAAAUGAUGCAUUACCUUGUGCAUCAACAUUAGUUAAAGAUACUACUCCUGGAUGAAGGACAAGUACCUCCAAAGAAGAUGCCACAUCUGCCUAGGGGAAAACUAAAGAGCAUACCACUUCUACUUAUGGGACAAAGGCAAGUGAAAAUGAUACCACAUUUCGGUACUUAGAAGUUUCGUGAUUACUCAGUGCCUUGGAUCUUACAAGUCCCCAACCAAAGAGCUUUCCUUACUCAGGAACUUAGGGGAGCAUUGUUUGUACCAUACUUGACCAAUCCUAAAACUAUUGAGCAUCAGUCAGCAUUAUACCGUCAAGGACCCACAAGAAUUUCCUUACAACCAUGAGGCCAAUCACAACAUGACACAUGUCAACAUUAGAGGCCAAUCACAGCACGACACAUAUCAAUGUCAGAAUAAAGCUAGAAACUUUCUUCUAUAAAAGUAGAUCAUUCUCCUACAAUAAUCCUUAAUGUUAUUUGUACAAUACUUCUCUUUAGAACUCACUUCUGAGGAGAUUGAACCUAUGUUUUAGUGUAAACCCUUCACUAUUAAUGAGAACUCCUCCACUCCGUGGACAUAGCCAAUCUGGGUGAACCACGUACAUUUUGUGUUUGCUUCCCUAUCUCUCCCUUCACAUACUUAUCCUUACUAGUAACCGAAGCAACCAAGCGAAGGUCACAAACUUGAUAUUUUCUGUUGUACCAAAGUUCUCGCUGAUUUUGUGCAUCAACAGCUUUUAUAUAUUAUGACGUGACAUGCCAUGUUUAGCUUUACAAAUAGACUUUUCGUACACUUUAUGUUUUUAAUAUUAUUUGUGAGCAUAAACUUGUGACAUGACAUCCUUGCGUUUUAUCUGCUCAUUAUUACAUGUUUGCACAAUGUCUCUUAGUUAUUUGUAUUGUCCUGGGCUAAGGACCAGUUUCACAUGUAGUUCAUAUGCACCAUUUACAUUUGCUUUGGAUCUAGAGUUAGGUGUCAGUUUGUCCUUUGUAUUGAUGUGUUAGACUCGUAUGUGAUGCGACUAGCGCAACUCACGUGAUGUAGUACUAGAAUGUAAAACCUACACCCAGCCUGUUCCAUUGUCUUAAUACCUCUGCAAUGGACUUGUAUGCCUACAUAAAUUAAUGAGCAUUGAUUUCUUAUGAUAUCGAUUUGAGAUUUAUUGUUGAGGAAACUUAUUAUUGUACCCUACAUCUUUUACAAAACUUUAUUUUCAGACCCACUCACCCUUAUUUUUGCCCUUCCAGGAUGUUAGUGGUAGAGGAUUUCGUGACAACGAGGAUUGUUGGCAAAAGCUGUUACAUAGGAGACUUCUCUUUUCAGUGUAAAUGUCAUUACUCUUCUUUUAUUGCAAUUUAUCUAUGCUUUGACAUCACUUGUGUGAUAUGGAUUCAAUCCCCACUCACAUGCGCACUCUAAAUUAGUCACUUUUAGGUUUUAAUUUAUUCACAUUUUUCACAUCAUUACACUUUAUGGCUUCGUCACCUUCGGGUGUCCAAGUGGACAUUCCCGAUCAGGGUGUGUCAUGAUUGAUUUCCAAUCUAUUUUCCAAUAUAUUUUUUAAUAAAAUAUAUAAAUAAAUAACCUAAAUUUGCUAGUUUAUUUUGUAAAAAAGAAAAAACAAAAACUUAAUUUAAUGUACAAAAGAAGUGAGUGACAAGAUGUUAGUAUAUAAUUAAGCAAGACUAGAUUUAGUAGGAUUCUAGCAGCGAUACUUACGACCAAAUUUUAGUAGGGAGAGAGAAACAAACACAGAACCUCGAGUGCCAAAGUAAUUUUUUUUAACUACUUGAACUACAAACCCCUUACAUACCCCCAUAUAAUACUUGAAAACGAUAUUAUAUUGGGGUUUAUGUCUCCCACUGUUUUUUUUUUUUUAAUCUAAGACAACAAUUAUGGCGUGCUUAAUGUGACCUCAACAUGAGGUGAUAAUUAACGAAUUUCUCAUGCUCUUGAUUUAAUUUUCCAUACAACCAAUCACUUUAGAACCCUGCUUAGUUACAAGCCCACUACAAAGCUCGACAUCUCCCACUAUUAUUAAUUUUUUUCUAGUUAUAAAGUUUAUGUAUAACUAAUCUGUUUUAAUGUGCUAAAUAAUCAUAUGAAAAAGUGUUUAUUUCCCUGUCUACCAUUAGGUUUAGUUUUUCUGCAACUAUUUUUAUUAUGGGGUAGACUCCUGAUUUAGUGCAUGUAUUAUCACUUGAGUGAAAAUUAGGCUCCUAAAUUAUUAUUAUUUUUGUAAAAUAAGUCACUAAAUUCAAUAAAAUUGCUAAUUUCAUCCCUACUAUCUUAUUCAAAAUUAUUUUAUCCAAUUUUUCAUCAACUUAACCCACAUGAUACAUUCUAGAGGGUAAUACCCUCAUUUUCUUGCUUAUACGCCACUAACGCCUAAUUUACUCUCAAAAGUUAACUUCAUACACAAUAUCUUUGAGAAAACAAAGUCCUUGGACUCAUGUAAAACUACCAAUCGACUCUUCAAAAUGUAACACAUGCUAGUCAUGUGACUUAAAUUAACGAAAAAUUAAAUAGAAUAGCUUAGUGUAAGGAUUAAAUUUUUCGUAUAAAUAAUUUAGGGACCUAAUUUUCACUCAGUCAAUCAUUUAAAAAGUAAAUCGGCAGUUCACCCUUUAUUUUAUAUAUAUAUAUAUAUAUAUAUAUAGUUUUGUACGUGUAAGUGUAAACACCUCAGCUGCAUUCCUGAUUUGUAGAGAAAAAUUACAGAUGUCCAAUAUAACCCGAACACUUUAUUUUCCAAAUUUUUUUGAGAAAAAAAUGAUAAAUGAAGUGUUUAUCCUUUAUUAUAUAAAAAUGUGAAAAUAAUAAUGAAAUUCUGACACACGUUUCAGCUGUCAGCAAAUUCUUCACUUAUCUCUCGAAUAUCUACUGAGAGUCAAAUUUAACAACAAAUAAUUUUGCUUCAGUAAGAUAUAUAUAUUUAUAGUUAGUCUUCUAUAUAGUUUAAAAUUUUUCUUUCUUACUAUUGUUUCUCCAUUACGAUUUGUCUACGAGUUAAAAUUAGGCACGGAUCUUCUUUGUAAUCCUGUACCCAAGUAGACAAACUUUUGUAGAAUCAAAACAUAUGUAAACCUACUUUCCACUGUCCCAAUGGCUGACUGUCUAAGUUGGACAUGCAAAACCAGUAGUACGUACGGCAGCAUGAGUGUUGAAUAGUUGGGCAAAUUUUGGAUAUGAGAGUCAAAUCAUAUAACACGCUUAGCUUCAGGAUUUUUUUUUUUUUUUUAAAUUUAACGAAAAGUAUCUGAUACUAUUUACUUUAACAAAAAAUCAUAUUUUUAAUUUAAAAAAUCAAUUCUGGUACUAUUCAUUUAUAACACAUUUUUGUCAUUUUCAUUAAAACUCGAAGUUUUUAUGUCAUUUUUAUUAAUUUUCCUUCUUUUCUUUUUUCAGCUAACCAAUGCAUGCGAAAUUUGAAUUAUUAGUUCUUGUUAUUUUCGUUAAAACUCAAAGUGCUUCCCAAACAAAGAAAACAACUUCAUUCUUGCCCGAGUGAUUUGAAUUGGGUUAUACGACAACGUAUAUUUGAAAAGAAAACAUUAAGUUUAAUAUACAUAUAUGUGUAAAAUAUACUUGUACGGACCAAAUGGCUACAGAGUUUAAUUGUUUAUCAAAAAAAAAAAAAUAGCGCGGUGACGCUAAAGAGUGGAUACAUACUUUGAGUCGUGGACAAUGUGAGAUUUUUUAGUAUGAUCGAAAUACGGGAUGGUACGUAGGAUAUGUGUAUUAAAAAGUUAAUAACUUAAAAAAAUAAAAUUUAUCACUACUUAUAUAAAAACAAGAGGUGUACCAUUUAUAUUCCGAUCACAAUGAAAAAUUUCUUGUGGACGAGGAUUUAAACCAAAGCUAGGGUCAACCUUCACAAAUACUCCUUCCAUGACGUUUGGAAACUAAAUGUGACACCAUUAACCACACCAUUUUGGCUUUUAUUUUUAUUUUUAUGUUAUGUUUACUUAUAUUGAUAUUGAUAUAUCUAUCGAUAAUUCUAUAAAUUUACAUAUCGAUGGAUAUAUCGAUAUCAAUAUUCGGUUGCCUUCGACAGGAAUUAUAGAAAUUUGCAAUGGGGGUGGGGGUGGGUAUAUCAACUCAUUUAGAUUUAGUCGAAAUUAGAGAGAAAUCUCUCCAAAAAAAAUCAAAAGUUCGAAAUAUGCAAUGAGUUUGAUCAAAUUUUUUCCAUAUCAACCUUAAUCUUUGAAUAUUUCGACGGAACUAUCAAUAAUUUUGUGGAUAUUUUAACACUGAUUUGAUAGCAAAUCUGUGGUCGUUGGAGAUGCAUCCACAUUGGAUCACUGCUGAAAAUACCAAAGGCAAGAACAAAAAUAUAUCUACAAAUUAUAUGGUCCCUUUUGGAGAUAUCAUCCUUCAAUGUUAUGUCGUAAUCACUCUUUCAAGCGAAAGCUUGAUAUUAUUGAGGAUCUAAGGUUGGUAAAUCUCUGCUUUUUAUAUCAGAAAUCUGCCAGACCACACCGUCCAUGUUAUAUAUGCCUCACAAAAUUAGCGUUGCUACAAGCUUCUAGAUAUGCUACAAUCACAAUUUUUUUUUUUUUUGUCAAAUAGUAGAUUUAUUAGAUUAGAGUAUUUUCAAAGAAGAAGUCAAACUCAAUAUACUAAAUUUCAAUUUGAUGGCUGACUUGAUAAUUUGACAUAUUGUCAAAAUUUUACUUCCACCCGAUAUGCCAAAUUUUAUUGUUUUAUUUAUGUUUUUUUUUAACAAAAAUAAUAAAGUUGGGUUGUUGUUGGUUAAUAAUAAAAUAAUACUUAAAUAUGCUAGCAUUUAAGGUAAGGUAAGUGGAAUGUCUUUGGAAAUAGCAAAAACUAUAUUUGAAGGUACUGUCAAUUUUGACAUCACUCUAUCCAUGUCAACUUAGCCUUCUUUUCCAUGUCAUCUUUGAUAUUUCAAUUGGAGUAAAUGGUACGUCAUUUGUUACUGUUAUAUGUCUAUAUGGCAUUUUUGACAUCUCCUUUGGAGAUGACCUUAGAUGUUAGAUUAAAGAGUCGACAUGGUUCAAACUCACGUCGUGGUGUAAGCCAAACGCUCAUCUCUACCACUAUAAUAAAAUGCCACUGCGAUGCAAGGACAACAUAAUUAUACAUAACUAAAUAUUUAGUUAUUUGAGCCUUCCGUUCUGCAGUUCAGUGGCACUCACCUUCUCUUAGAUAGGAUAUUAUAAGUUGAAUUCCAUGAAUUAUGAGUCUAAAAUUUAAUUAUGACCAAUACAUUGUGUGGUUUAACUUAAAGUUUCGUUCUCCAAUGCCAUUCAAUUAUAAACAUUAAAAAAAAAUUAAUUCUUUGCAACCUAAUGGGCUGGGCUGAGUCAAUCUACUGACAUCCAAUUCAUUGCUCGUGCUGCUCUGUUACUAUGUGAACCCUAAAGCACUGCAAGGUCUACAAUGAGGCCCAGUCCCACUUAGUAGAAUGGCAAGCCACAGCCCAUUGUGGAGGCUAUCAAUUUUGACAAGACAAAAUUCACUUACUCUGGAAUUUUUUCCGUAAUUAUAAAAAUUUAAUUUUUUAUUGUGAUUAUUUUAGGUUUCUUUUAAUAUAUGCAUUUUACCAAAAAUGUUGUAUCAGAUUAAUUUAAGAAGUCAUAUUUCUACACUAUUUUUGUUUUAACAACAAAAUAAUAAGAAAUAACAAAGCUCCUUAUAAACACAUAAACAAAUCACUUGUUAAGCGGCACUGAAUUUUCACUUUGUUGAAAGAUGUUCUUAAUUCAAACCUCAUAAACCGCUAUUGUUAAUUCAAGAACAAAAUCGAGACCUCCCAUGUAUUGUAUUUUUGUGUCAUCUAAUCCACUCGUAAAAGGAAAAGCCGCAUACGAUCCAUCCUACGCAAGUACCCUUCCCAUUUAGGACACGGUUCUAAUCAUGUUUGGUCUUUAGCUUUUGGAUUAGUACCAAUUGGUGAUGGUGGUGGCCCAACUUCAAUGAGUUCAUGAACACGUAACCACUCUGAAUCCAACUUCUCUACGUUUUUUGGAUUUUGAUAUUUGUGAUCUUCCAAAGCGAAAGCGUCAAACGAACGAGAGAUUUUUCAAUUUAUCGUGAUAUCAUGUGUCAUAAUAUAAGUAAAUAGAUACUUGAAAAGGAAAAAAAUUCAACCACUUACAUUGUGAUACUUGAUAUACCAGACCGUGUUCCGACACAUCAAAAAAAUUUCUCCAAACAAACAAGUAAACGACGCCUAAUUGGAAAAAUCAAUUUGAAUAUAAAAGACGAACAAGCAGGUUGGUUCGAAAUCGCCAAUAGAAACUUUCACCUUCAGUUUUAUUAUGUUUCUUUUUUGGUGAUGACCUUAUAAACUUUAUGUUAAUUGAUCACAUCACGGAUUCAUACGUUCACAUAAUUUAAAUUAUGAAAUAUUAAUAUUUUAGUUAUUUUUAGCCGCCUUCUGAAUUCUAAUCCAAAUUUUCUAGCAUUCUCAAGAAAAAAUAACAUGUAUCAUUUUAAAUUGCGAUGUAACAUAUGUCAUUUUAAGUCGUUACAUCAAACAAGCUUCUAAUAUCAUUACUAAUUCAUAACAAAACAAAAUUGGUGUUGAUAAUGUGUAUGUUCUCUUAAACUCAAGUUUGAAAUUCUUACUCAGUAGAUUAGAGCAAUUUUUUUUUUUUAAAAACAAGCAAUAUAAAAAGAGGAAAAAACGCAAGCCCAAACUUGAAUCACAAACUCUUUGCAAAGAUAGCGGGUCGUGGCCACGAUUUUUUUUUUUUUUGAACAAAUGAUAUUAUAUACACUAAAGGAAUGGAGUAGUAAGCUCCUCCCAAUGAGAUAGCGAUAAUGUAAUUCAAAUUUAUCUUUGAUAAGUAUCAAACCUAUAACUGUAGUACAAAUGGCAAGACUUUUGUUAACUUAUCAACAAAAAUAAAAAUAAAUAGGUGUAAAUAAAAAGAUAGGAGUUGGGAGAGAGGAAGGGGAGGUUGGGACCUGGGGAAGGAGACCAGAGUGGGUCAGAAGACUCAGAAGCACACGUUGAUUGUAGGCAACACCAUGUGCUCACAUGUCACAUGCCACUCUUCUUAUUCAUUCAUUUCAUUUCUUACCCCCUCCCCUCCCCUUUGCUCUCCUUCCUCCUCCUCCACAGCCCCCCUCUCUCUCUCAUAGUCACAGUCAAUACUCAUCAUUUCCUAGUCAAAACACAAAACAAAACGGAACCCAACUCGUUCAAUUUCUGAGCUUCUGAGGGUGAAAAAACCAGAAGCUGAAGCAAGAAAAAAAUGAAGGAAAGCUCAGAUGGGUUUGUGAGGGCAGAUCAGAUUGAUCUGAAGAGCUUGGAUGAGCAGCUGGAAAGGCAUCUCAACAGGGUCUUGACUUUGGAGAAGAACAAGAUCAUGAGAGACCCUGAAACCAAUUCCAACAGCAUCCACCUCACCACUACCUCCAACUCCAAUUCAACCGCUACCACAACCCCCACGACCACCACCUCCACUUCCUCCAUGACCCUCUCCAUCCCCAGGCGCCACCGCCAGGAGUGGGAGAUCGACCCCUCCAAGCUCCUCAUCAAGUCUGUCAUUGCUCGUGGCACCUUCGGCACCGUCCACCGUGGCAUCUACGACGGUCAAGAUGUCGCCGGUAAUCCCGUCCUGUCAUUUUAGCUCAUCUUUCAUUUGGGUCCUUUAGAAGUUGUCGAGUUCCUCACUUUUGUGACUUUCUCCCCAAAAAUUCAAUCUUUUUCUUUCAAUUUUCGAUACCCCUUUCUUACAAUGUUAUCUUUUUGUUGUAUCUAUUUUCUGCAGUGUAUUAUGGAUGUUUUUAGCAAAACCCAUUUGGUUUUUUACUUUACUUUAAUUGAAUUUUGGGAGAUAAUUGAAGAUCUUUGUUAAUUUCCACUUUGGGUUUUCUACUGUAAAAUGUAGUUUAAACACAAAAGUAAGGUUGAUUAUGGUGUUGUCUUGCAAUUAUUCACUUUGUUUAGUCAGUUUAAAUGUUGGAUUAGUUGAACUUUGUGGUUGAUCUUGCAAGUCACUACAAGUUUCUUACUUUAUAGUUUAUAUACAUUUAGGUAUUAUAUACAUAUGUGUGUGGCAAAAUUCCAAAUGCACAUAUUCAAUGGACUGCAAUGAAGGUUGCCGAUUGUCCACUGUAAUUGUACUUUUAUGGAGUCCGUGACUCUUACACGGGUUUGUGUUGAAUUUUCUGUUGAGAGCAACUUGGAUAAUGUUGCUGUAUUCCUGACUUUCAUGUGAGUUCCCCACCUGUUAGUUGAAACUUAUUCAACAACCAAAUAGGAAAAAUGUUCAUCCAUACGUAUUUAUGUUAGCGAAACUCCUUAUUUGUCAACACAUUAUUGUAGUUGCUGUUGUCAUCAUCUUCUAAUCCAACCAAAUUAUGACCUUUUCGGUUCUUUGUAUUCUUCUCUUCCUUUUUUCGUUUUGUUGGUUCGUGAUGAUACACAAUCGGGUUGCAAAUUUUACCCUUAUAAUGAAGGCUCCAUUUUUUAAUGCCAGUUAAAUUGCUUGACUGGGGUGAAGAGGGUCACAGGACAGACUCCGAGAUUGCUUCUCUAAGGGCAGCUUUUACUCAAGAAGUUGCUGUCUGGCAUAAACUAGAUCAUCCUAAUGUUACUAAGGUAACUUUCCACCUCUCUUUUUUAAGAAUUUUCGGACGUGUCAUUUGGAUUUGAUCGAUUCUUCUAACUUUUAUGAAUAUCAAAACCCGAAUGUGUUUGUUUUAAGAAAACCUCUAGCAUAUGCAACACUAAGGACAUUCACUAUGUCACUUCACUAGGGUUGGUUUUUCUGCGGUUAUCCAUAGGGCGUCCACUGACCAUGCAAAGGUUUCUAACUUCCUAGUUAUACAAUUGUUCUCUAGUCAGCGUACCAUUAUCCUCCUUGAUUUAUCAUGGCCUAAGGUUGCAACCGUACCUGAGACAGUUGCCUUCCUUUUCUUUGGUAUCCUUCAGUUGCAUCUCUCACCACCUGAGUGAGGUAGAAGCAUUAGAGCCUGUUUGGUACUGUACUUGAAUCUAAUUUUUUAAACUCAAAAGCACUUUUCAAGUUUUAGGCCUUAAAAACUUGUUUAGUAUGACUAUUUUCAAAAACUAAACUCAAGACUAACUCAAAAAUAUAGUCUAUUCUCUAAAAACAUAAAAAGUGAGUUUUUAGAGUUUUUAAACUUAAACCCACUCAUUUCUUUUCUCUCUCUCUCCUCCCGUCUCACUCCAAAUCUAUCUCUCUCUUUUCUUCUUUCUUUAUCCUUUUUUUUUUUACCUUUUUCGUCUCUCCUCCAAUCCAAUCAAGUUUAAGUCAUAAGAUUUAAAAAUUUUAAAUAGCAAACUAAUUAAGUUUUUGAGUCUUAAAGAAAAUUGUUUUCAAGAAAUGUUCUUAAGAAAUGUUUUGAGAAAUGAUAAAAAUUUCAAAUAUGAUACCAAACAGGCUCUUAGUUUUUGUAUCAUGAAUUUUCAGAAUUUACUUAGCAAUAUCAGGUAGCAAAUAAGUUAAGCGAUGACUUUUUAAAUAUCUGCACAGUAGUGAAUACAUGCUACAUUUUCUUUUGUCCGGACGUCAUACAUACGACAAUUUUCUAUGCUAUUUAACAGGCUAUAAGAAGUUCAAAACUUUAAUGCUGCUUCAGUACAUUAAAUGCGCGCAUAAAAUAUUUGUGAUUAUCUUUUGAUUUCCAGAAAUAUGAUACACAUUGCUAUUGCUUUCUAGUAGUUUUUAUUAUAGAUUGAAUCUCGCUAAUCUUCUGGUCUGUUGAUGUCCAGUUUAUUGGGGCAACAAUGGGUUCAUCAGAUCUACAAAUACAGACAGAAAAUGGUCAAAUUGGCAUGCCAACAAAUAUCUGUUGUGUCGUUGUAGAAUAUCUUCCUGGGGGUGCUCUAAAAUCGUACCUCAUAAAGAAUAGGAGAAGGAAGUUAGCUUUUAAAGUCGUUGUCCAGCUGGCACUAGAUCUUGCUAGAGGGUAUCCCUUUUCAGUUCUUAUGCUACUAUUAAUUUCCUUUUUCUUAGAGCAUUGUAAUUUAGUAGAUAAAGAGUGAGCUUCAGGCUGCGUUAUUGUCAAGCCAAGCACUUAGACUUACUUGUGCUGUAUUUUAUAGGUUGAGCUACUUACACUCACAGAAGAUUGUCCACAGAGAUGUAAAGACAGAGAACAUGCUUCUGGACAAGACUCGUGCGGUCAAGAUUGCUGAUUUUGGUGUUGCUCGUGUUGAAGCUUCAAAUCCCAAUGACAUGACUGGGGAGACUGGCACACUAGGUUACAUGGCUCCUGAGGUAUUUGGUCUACUUUAGUUGCUAAAAUUAUUCUGGCUACGACUUCACCACCUUACCAGCUACGUUUCUUGAAUCUUAGGGAGUCGGUAUUCACAUGUGUAUGCGCAUGUAGUUUUAAUACGAUUCUCUUAUUGCAUGAAAAUGAAACUCUGGCAUUUCCAAACCCUGUUUCGCUUGACAUAACGGGGGCAGUUUUGCUAAUAUUUAUGCUGAGAUAGGAAGCAUACAAUAAAAGAAUUGUUUACUGGAUGCUUAAUGACUUGCCAUAUGGAUGGGUGACAGGUCCUCAAUGGCAACCCGUAUAACAGGAAAUGUGAUGUGUACAGUUUCGGCAUCUGUUUAUGGGAAAUAUAUUGCUGUGAUAUGCCAUAUCCUGACCUUAGUUUCUCGGAAGUGACUUCAGCUGUGGUUCGCCAGGUUAACCAUUCUCCUAUCUCAACCAUACGCCCAAGUUGUCAUUUUUGUGUUGCUUGAAAUUAAUCCUUUUAUUUACGCCUCUUGGCAAUUACAGAAUUUGAGACCGGAGAUACCAAGAUGUUGUCCAAGUGCGCUUGCAAACGUAAUGAAGCGAUGCUGGGAUGCGAAUCCAGACAAGCGGCCUGAGAUGGAUGAGGUAGUCACAAUGUUGGAGGCGAUCGACACAUCGAAAGGCGGAGGUAUGAUCCCUCAAGAUCAGUCUCAGGGCUGUCUUUGCUUUCGAAAGAAAAGAGGACCGUGAAGAUUUAUUCAUUGAAAGACCAAUUGGGAUAUGAUUGUUUUUAAGAUCAAAAGAGUCCAAUUUGUACUUAAGAUAGCAAACAGAAGAAAAGAUAUCUGGAAAAUCAAAAGGAGAUGAACAGAAAGGUGGUGGAAGGUAAUGGCUUCCGGGUAUACAUUGACGAGCAAUGCUAUUUCUCUUAUUAUCUUGGAGGAUGUAAAGCUUUUAUUUAAUAUUGUUCCCAUUUUUUUUUCCUUUUCCUUAAACGAAUGUGUAUUAAUUUGACUGGCACUACCAGCUUCUUGUAAGAUCCAUUAUAUACUAGUUAUAUUGUCAUGAAUUUAUGAUUAAAUUAACCAUAUUUCUGUAUCUAUUUAAUUUGAUUGACAUUGUGUAUGAUAGACAUUCUUCGAGACCCUCGCAAAGCCGGGAACUUUGUUUGUGGAUGCAAAUUUCCCUCCCUCUUCUUCUUUGGCGAAAAUGCACCUGCAAAAUAAUAACAUCUAAGAUCAAGGCCAAGAGAAGUUAGCUUUUUGGUGGAGAAAUUGGACUAUAUAUAGGGGUGUGGCCGGCCCUAUUUGGAGAAUAAGGACCGGUCACUUAUGGUGGUAUUUUGAAUAUAAUUGCAAGAUAUUAUGUGAAAUAAUAUCUUACAAUUAAUUUGGUAAUUAAUCCUAAAUUGAAUAGGAAAAUUGAGAGUUAUCUUUUGAGUGAAGAUUUGACGAGGAAUGAUGAGAGGGAUUUAAAUAAAUACCAUCUUUGACUCUUUCUUGAUUGAGUCUUGUUCACUUGAGGUUGCCUUUAGUUUCUGGUGUGUACUCUUUUGAUGAAUUAUUUUGGUAAUUGACUGCAGGAAAGUGUUCGUCCCAAAAAAAAAACAAAGAAAAAAAAUCAGCACAGUGAAUUGAGAAAUAGAUCUUUUUAUAUAACCAACAUUGCAAAUUACAAUUUACAAUUCAAAAUUUGAGAACAAAUAAAGGAAUAAAUGAAUAAAAAGCUCAAGAAUUAGUUGGUCCUACAAAAAGAUAAAGAAUAUUGAAGCAAGAAGCUCCCUAAUCCCUAUCAUUUCUUCUAAAUAUCAGAGAGUUGGAACUUGUUUUAUUGGUUUUUCUUCCUCUUCCCAAUUGGUGGUCUGGUAGUAGGUUGCAUAUAGAAUGAACUGCACCAGGCCAGACAAUGAUCCCAAACUCAUGUUUUUCAAGCCAAGCCCACCCGGAUACUUCGGAAGGCAGACUUAGCUUCAUUUAAGCAAGUUGACUUUACUUUUGGAUUGAGUGGAGCUCCAGACGAAAUUCUUAUUCAACCUGUCAAGUUGAUCACAAAUGAUAGGUGGUAACUUCACUAUCUGCAUAGUAUAUACUGGGAUUGCAGGGGUGACAGAUUGAACAAGAGUGGCCCGACUAGUUCUAAAUUCACCUUCCAGGCAGAAAGUUGAGUUUGAACUUCUCUACCAGGCUUUUGUAGGUGUUUUUGUGAUGCGAAAAUGAAUGAGCGGAACUCCCAAAUACUUCCCCAAAUCAUCAGUUAGAGGGGAACCACAAAUGCGACUAGGAACAAAAGCCAUUCCACGAUUAAUAUUAGCAGGGCAAUAAAUUCUAGAGUUUUCAUAACUUAUUUGCUGCCCAGAAGCCAAGCAAAAUUUAUCAAAGACAAUGCUUGAUUAGAAUUGGAGUGGGGGUAAAAAAACAAUAAGAGUGGUCUUAUUUCAAAGCACAUUCUAAAUUUUCAUAUAAAAAUAAAUAAAUAAAUGUUAUUUUUACUAUGUAUUUGUACCAUCAUUUGUAUGAACUCACAAGUAUUGGUGGGCCUACCUCUAUUAGGGAGAUUGUACAAAUAAAUGGCAAAUGUGUAACAGUUUAGUGGCCAACAAUAAAAAAUCUCAAAACAUACGCAUAAUUUUUUGUGAAUACGGUAACUUCUGAUAACACCGGUAUGGUUGAGACUUGAGAUUGUUUCUAAGAUGAAUGGUGGAGAUUAGUUAGUUAAUUAUCAAGCUAGUUACUCUAACAGCAUUGCUUUAGUGUGUAACAGUUUAGUGGCAAACAAUAAAAAUAAUCCUCAAAACAUUCACAUAAUUUUUUGUGAAUACGGUAACUUCUGAUAACAGUUGUAUGGUUGAGAUUGUUUCUAAGAUGAAUGAUGGGGAUUGGUUGGUUAAUUAUCAAGUUAGUUACUCUAACAGCAUUGCUUUGGAGCUAAGCAACUACUCUUUGUACAAAAUAGGGUAUGAGAGAUCAGUGUAAUUCUAAGAAGAAUAUUCAGUUGUGAUAAUUCAGGCUAUAUAUACAGCUCUCUCUCUCUCUCUCCAUUUUUUCUUUUCUCAGUUCAAUACAUUCAACAUGGUUUAUGGAGAAGCACCUCUAGAAAGUAUUUCCAAACGAGUUAAAGAUAAAUGAGGUAGUCUUCAUCUUACAGGCCUUUGACGUAUCGAAAGGUUGGAGCUAUGAUAUCUCAAGAUUACCAAAAAAAAAAAAAGAACAUUUAAGUGACUCAUUGAAAGAUGCUAUUUGAAACUACUGUUUGAAACAUUUUUAGUUAUCUUAAAACAUUUCCAAACGGAUCCUAACAAUUUCAAGUUUGCGAAGUACAACCGUUAUAUAUAAUUAUGGAGCAUAAAAGGUUGUGUUUUAGUUUUUCUGAAGAACAAAAAUUGGAUAAAACUUAUUUCAAAAAGGAAGCAUCAACUGAGCUAAUUUGAGGGUUCAAAUUAAUAGAACCACUAAUAUGCAAAUGACAUUGAUUACCUCAACUGAUACAGUUAAUUGCAGCGGUAAUCUAUCUUUCUAUCUCAUGACUAACUUACAACAAACAAUACAGGCAAAUACCUACAAAAAUUGAGGAAAUGGCUCAAGAACUAAACUAGUUGGCCAUAAAAAAUAAAACAAAAAAACAAAUAUUGAUGCAUGUCAACUAAUUUCUCUCUAAACAACCGACCUACUUAAUGGAACAAAAUUUUGUUGUUGUUUGUCAAUUAAUUUCUUUCUAAACAUUAGACACUUGGACCUCUGACCGCGGCCUGUCAUUCUCGUCGUCUUCCCAUCGAGUGGUUCUGUAGAAUAUGGCGUACAAAAUGAGCUGCACUGCGCCGGAAAUCGUUCCCAAACCGUUUGGAAGCUACCAAAGUUAUUCAAACAAAUAUGUUAGAAACUUAAAUAUAAGUUUUUGAUUAUUUUUUUAUAUAUUUGUAUAGGAGAAGUUCUUUGAUUUAUUACUUGGCCCUCAUAUCGUCAAUUAAUAUGCGUUGAAACUUAAUUCGGUUUAUAAAUUACCAGAAUAUUGGCAUCGAAUUUAAGGAGUGAGUAGACCAGCCAAACAACCCCAUUGAAGAAGUUAGCAAGUGACAGGUAAAAUGGCAUAUACUUCACGCUCUUUGUCUUGAUCACCAUACGCUGCCAAACAACCCCAUUGAAGAAGUUAGCAAAUAUAUGUAAUUUAUUUACUCAUAGAUCAAUGAAAUGGAGAGAAACUUGGGUAGGGUAACAACAGUCACGCACUCUCACAAAGUAACAGGUCUCAUUGUAUUUGGCUAUGUUCCGGUCUUAUGUGAUACAAUUAUCAACGAACACCAUCACAGCCUUUCUGCUCUACUUAAGGUUUUUUCUAAUGACGAGAUUCAAUAUUAAUUGAGGGUGCUUAGUAAUUAAUAGAAAUAUAUAUAUACAUACCAUGACUGUCAAGGGUGAUAAAUACAUAAGGAUGUUGAAGAUAAUGCAGAUGAUUCCAACUACCAAAGACCGGUGUCUAGUUGUAUGGAAAAUGUACAUGGUAACCAAAACCACAAUAACAAAGAAGAUAACUUCAACCACAAGUGCUUUAAAGAUCGUUAGCUGAAAUCCAAGAAAAGGAAAGAAAAAAAAUUAGGUUAUAAGUUUUACCGCAAUAACAAAGAAGAUAACUUGAAUAACAAAGAAGCAUUAAUACUCAAUUAAUUAAUUUAACAACGUAACGUUUUGGUACACAAAACUAACUCACUGUUAGUAUGCUUUUAAAUAAAGGUGAAUCGUAUCAUUGUACGUAAAAGCUACUUGUAUUCGGGAGCAUAUCAACAAGUGCGUCAAUUUUUUAUUGUACGUAAAAGCUACACGUUGCAAUACAUACUUACGCGUUGUGAGCCUAGAGAAAAGAUGAGGAAGACGAGAAUGUAGACUAGUUCGAUGACAACUCCAGCGCCAUUGAUUGAUACCACAAGAAUGCUGUCAGGAUGGACAAAGGGCAUGCCGUAGAAGACCCAUAAGGCACAAUUCAGCAAUGUUACUACGUAGGGAUCCGGCUUGAAAUCUGAUACUGUUUUUUGCUUUACUAUUCUAUAAAAUGUUGGUCUGCGAUGUUUAAUUCAUUAAUCAACACAGUUAUAUAUUAAUUAGUUUUGUUAUUUCAAAGAAUUAAGAGAGAGAGAAAGAGAGAGAGAGAAUUACAUUGGGGACAGAAACAUGAUCAAAGAGAUGAUAUUUCCUGGAUACAAGGGAUAAAUGGAACAAGAAAAGCAUUAGAGAUGUAGGAUUUAAUUAAAAAAAAAUGUAAAAGAAAAGAAAUACUCGAAGAACAUAACCUAGAUUAAAGAAGAUUACGUUUGGAUAAUUUUUUGUCAGAAGAUAACACAUUCACACAAAAAUCAACCUGAUUAUUAUUUUUAGAUGGGCACGUAAUAUAAACAGUGUUAUCAAAAUGUAGAGAACAUUUCCGAUGUAUUUCUUUCAAAUAAUACAUACAAUAUAUGCAUGCUUCUUUGAUUCUUUGUCAGGUCGUCCCAUGCAAUGAACUCGAUACGUCACGAUUGAUAACGCAAAAACGAAAAAUGAAAAUUGUACAAGUAAGAGGUAAAACACAGCACCGAUCACAAUUUCACUGACCGAUAAUGCCAAUAACCGUUCUGACUAAGCCUAUGUCCACCAUUUAUACGUUGAGUGCUAGCUUUAAUUACUAAACAUCUUAAUGAAUCCAAAUCUUGAUUAUUUAAAGGGUCAACCUGGCCAUCCUAUAUGAAUGGAUGCAUGAAGUUUUGGUCCACUAAAACCGGAGGGUCUCUAAAUCUCUUGACUAAAUUUUCGUCCUUAGUUUUCUAAUCAACAGCAAUUAAAUUUUCUUUUGCUAAUUAAUUAACGGUUCUGGAUAAUUCACCGUUAAAUUAGGAUUGGCAUGAGUGUGGCGAUUCAUCUUCUCACUGUAUAUCUGUUUUCCAUAUGGUGUAUAGUGGCCAUGAAUUAGGGUUCCACAAAAAAGGGAAAACACAAAACCCCCUAUUUCAGGUAGAGUAUAUGUUGAGAAUGAAUCCCACAUUGAUGAGAGAAGACACCUAGCUACUCCUCAUAUUGCCAAUUGGUUUUAUGGUGGAAUCUCAACUUUCUUCAUGGUAUCAGAGCAGGUUGUCCCACGUGUGAAGUCAAACGGUCACACGCGUUCCACUUCACCUCGUUGUGUUGUCCACGUGUUAGGUUUGAAAAUUUGCGUUGAGAAUGAAUCUCACAUUGAUGAGAGGAGAGACCUUGCACGGGCUUAUAAGAGGCUGGGGUACUCCCCAUAUUGCCAAUUGGUUUUAUGGUGGAACCUUAACUUUCUUCAUGAUAUCAGAGCAGGUUGUCUCACAUGUGAAGUCAAACGAUCACACGCGCUCCAAAUCUCUUCUACUUUUCUCCCCUCCUCUCUCACUUUCCUUUAUGGCUUUCUCUCUCUACAAAAAUGCUCUUCUACAUUUCUCCUCUCCUCCUUUGGCUUUCUCUCUCUACAAAAAAGGCUUCAUGGUAGUAGGAUUAUCUCCCUUCCAAAUCUCUUCUACUUUUCUUCCCUCCUCUCUCACUUUCCUCUUUGACUUUCUCUCUAUACCAAAAAAUCAACACAAGAUGUUGACGUGAUUUAAUUGUAAACGUUCAAAUAAAUUGUAAGAGAGGAGAAUGAGAAUUUGGAGGAGAAAGAAUCAUAUUCUAACUUCAUGUUGGUUUUUCAUUUUCAAUAUCAACGUGCAUAAAUUUUUUCUGUUCUCGGAAUUCAAAUUUGGACCAUACUUUUAACAUUUAGAUAGAACAUAGUUACCACGUCUACGCUAAAUGUUAAUUAGUUGGUAUACAUGCACAAUGUGUUACUUACGAGUCUGUCUGACUUCUAUUCUUUCCCCUUAAUCAAGGAUACAGAAUGUUAAUUAGUUGGUAUGUUAAUUAAUCCUACCUACUUUUUUCAAAAGUAAAAACUAUAACAAUCUCUCGUCUGUAAAAUUUGAACCUAGAACGUUUUUCCAUAAAAUAAAGGGUAGAUGUCACUAAUCAAAUGUCCAUCGGCCCUAACAGAACCUUAUAUACUUGGUGCUUGGACUACAAUUUGACAGUUCACAUGAAUUCUAUAAGACCCAUUUGUCAUGUUAUCAGACAGUUUAAGAUUGAUUUAUGGCCUUAAAGUCUUGAGGAUAAUUACGGGCAUAAUAAUCAUUGUGUGGUGAAAAAUCUUGUUAAUGUGAGAGCUUUGCAUUGCAUUGUAGCCACAAUCUGAAGAUAUUUUGAUGAAGACCUAGGGCAUCAUGGAGCACUAUACAGGGAAGAGUAUGGGCAAAGGAGAUAACCCCAACAACUUCAAUAAAAAUCAAGAUUAUUCAAUCUCUCUCACAAAAGCCUCCUAUGAGCAAAUCUCUCAAAGUCCCUCAAAGAGCAAACCUCUAAAAGAAAGCAAGCUUUCCUCAAAGCAUUUCAAAGAGAAGAAGUACCAUUCCUUCUCCAAGUCUCUGUCGAAUCAAGUAGUUUCCGCGAAGACGUAUCAUAUCUUCUCUAAGCUCUCUCUCUCAAAAUUCAAAGCAAGCCUUCUUUGGCAAAGCUCUUGAUUUAAUUUGCUUUCUCUUGUUAUCUAGCUUCUCAUUUUCAAGUUCCCCUUGUAAUAACUAUGUCUUUCAAUAUAAUUUCUCUCUUUGAAUCAUUUUUGUGACUUGGUUUCCUACAAUACAAGAAAAACUGAAGUCCUUAGCAUUCAAGGCAAAAAGAACUCAAAGUUGAGCCUCCCCACUCAAUUACACAAUCUUUUGAUUAGGAGUCAAUUAGGUGCAAUUUUCUAGUACAUGAGAUCUGUCUACUAGCGGCCUCUAAUAGUGACACACCCACAUUAUCGCGAUCUACACUGUCUAUUUAUUUUCCGGGCUCGAACUCUUGGUUUUUUAAGCUUUACAUUUUAAUCAACCUUCUGGUUUUGGAAACAAACAUAGUAGUGUGAUAUACAAUUUUUUCUAUUGAUCCUUGUCAACCUUUUCAUUUUUGCAUGUAAUUAUCAACCCACUGUCACGCAUGAGCUGUACCCGGAUGAUUUAAAGUUUUGAUACAUCCUGCAUGAUUAAAUAUGAUUACUUGAGAAACAUUAUUAAUAAACUAGAUUAAAAGUUAAAAGUAAGAUGUUUAUUUUUUAUUUUUUGAACAAAAGUAAGAUGUAUAUCUAAUUCCCCAACCGCCACAAAUUAAUUAUUGCUUCCCAGACUAAGUUGGGCUGACAAGUUUGCAUUACUGAACCUCCUCGAUUAAUUUUUUAGAAAAACUAAUGAAAAUGGUUUGAAAACUUUGAGUUUUAAUAAUAAGGACAAAAUAAAGGGUAAAGUGAAUAGUACCAGGUUUGACUUUUUAGUGUAAAAAUAUGAUUUUUCGUUAAAGUGAACAGUACCGUGGGCCUUUCGUUAAAACUCCCUUAAUUCUUUUUGUAUGUAGGUGUCAUGACAAAAUCAAUUGAAGUAUAGGAUAGAUUCUGGUGGUUGACAUCAUAAUUUAAUUAUGAGUAAUAACAUGGUCAGCUGGAAUGUAGUUCUCCAGAAUAUGAGAAAUGCUAGGUAAACUAAUGUUUAUAUUAAAUUUGCAAAUUAAAAGAUAUGUCACCAAUAAGAAAAUAGUUUUCCUAGUAUUACCCUAAAAAUAUAUAUUAUCAAACAAACUUGAUAAUGCCCUAAACUGAUUGUGAUUAGAAAGAAAAUAUAUUUCAAUUAUUAUGGGAACUAACUAUGCACAAUCCUUUUCGCUUUUUCCACCACCAAUUGGAAACCUAAACCUGUUUGGUCUUAGUAUUUUGAUGAGCCAAAUCACAAAAUAAUGCACCCUAGCUACUAAUUCGACUGAGUUUAGGGUGUGAUCUGAGCAUGAGGUGAUAAUGGAUUUCUCACCCUCUUAACUUAUCUCUCAUACAAUUAGUAUUUUAAUGCUUUACUUAAUCACAAGCUCAUGAUACAAAAUUUAGAAAUAAUAAGCAAUUUGUUUAGCAAACUCAAGUCUUGUACAAGUUUGAUUAUACAAACAUCGUUUUAAGAAAAUCCAAUUUGUUGAUGAGCAAAAUCUAAUUUCUUUAGCGUUUGUUUAAAUCAAUCGGAUCAAUGAUAAGUUAUCAUCAAGAAAUAUGAAGUCAUCUUUUUAUACAUGCAAGUCACAAUAGAUAUAAAUGCAAAAUUAAGUCUCCAAAACCAUUAUGAUAAAAGUUUCUGGACAUAUUUCGAACUGUAAUUAGGAUUUAGCAUUCUUGUCCCGACUUAAAUAUAAAGUAUUAAGGGGUGGGCAUACGGAUCUUUAGAAUCGUGAAUUCGGACCGUAUAACCAAGCCCAAUGUAAAACCAUCCGUUUCUUACUUUUGAUUUUCAAAAUGAUCAGAGUUGGACCCAAUUUGUAUAAAACCGAUUCCAAAAUCGAGUUCAUAUUUCUUAUGUGCGGGUUACCCGGCUCAGACUGUCUGAGGAUUGUCUUAGCACUUGUCAUUUUAUUAGUGGUUCACAACGAUAAAAUUUCUUUCUUUCAAACAUUUGUCGGUAUUGACUUUGUUAGACUAAUUCUCUCGCAACAGAACACACAUAGAUUGUUUUGUAUUGUUUUUUUGUCAUACGACAUAUGAUUGAAAACAGAUUCGUCGACCCGUAAAAACCGAACCGUAUCAAACAGACCCAAAUAAGCCGGUUCCAUUAAUAAACAUACAUUGUUUCACUCUGCAAAUUUCCCAGACAAGGCCAAGCCGCCGGGCCCUCAACUUUUAUGCUGUUUCCACUCUCUCUGCCUCUCUCUCAAUCAGAGAACUUAACCAAAUUUUCAAUCUUUUUAAACCGUAGAUUACUUCUUAUUUUGGACUAAUCCGCUCGAUUAGUCUAAACUUUGAUUAAAACCUUUCUGCCUCAAUUCUCAAGAGUCAAAUGUGUCGUUUUCUGUUCCCUUAUAAAAAAAGAAAAAAGAAAUAUUAUGAUUACUGAUAAGGCCCUGAAUCUGUAUCCUCCCUCUAUCUGUAACUUAAUAGUUAAUAGCACAAAGGGGCAGAAGCAGCCCACUUGUAAUACAAAGCUGCCACAUAAUUCAACCAAAACUCAAAUCCCAAGACAUGUUAAGCUUCUGUUCUUUCCUUCUGUUUCAGUUACCAGCCUGUUCAAAGCUGCGUUUUUUUCCAGAUAAGAUCAGUGGUUUAGAUGCAUGAGGUGGCCUUCAAAAGCUUCUGGGCUCGUGUAGGAUUGCUUCUCUAGAAAGCACUUCCGCUAGAAGUGCGUUGGAAUUUUUUUUUAUUAGAAAUCCGAAUGCGUGCUUUCUAGAAAAUCACUUGGAACGUCGCCUGAAGAAGCAUUUGGUAAUUGGUGGGAGCUGAGUUUUUCUGUCAAAAGCAGUCAGAAGCGCUUUUGGCCGUUCCAGGAGCUUACAGCUGAUUGGGUUUUGUGUUGUAUGGGUUUUGAGGUAAAAACAAUCUUCUGGGAUUUUAGUGUGCUAAUAAAAGAUCAAAUCUUUCUGGGGUUUUGUACAAUUUCUAGGGUUAUGGCAAUGGAGAUUUUAAUCUCUGUGAUCCUACUGUUCGUGGGGAUUGUUGUUUUAGUAGUAAUUCAUGUUUGUAUUGUUGGGAGAGCAUUCAACAGAGCCAAUAAUCAAGGUGUUAAUCUGGUUCAAAGAAGCAGCAUUUUGGGGAUCAAAAGGAUGUCCAACGAGGAACUCAACAUGCUGCCUUGCUUCGACUACACGGCAGAAGAGAAAGGGACUGCUACUAGCCCUGGGGAUUGUGCAGUUUGCUUGGAAAGUUUCAAGGGAGGUGAAAAGUGCAGGUUGUUGCCAAAUUGCAAGCACAGCUUCCAUGCUCAAUGCAUAGAUUCAUGGCUGCUGAAGACUCCGGUUUGUCCGGUGUGUCGGACUUGUGCUAAAACUCCGAAGAUUGAUGUGAGUUUGGGAGGGGAAAGCAGCGUUUCGGGCGAUUAUCGAAUCGAAAUGACGUAGAAGGCAGGUUUUUUAUGUUUUGUUUUCAUUGUUAAUGGUGAUGUUUUUGUAAAAAGUUUCUUGCUUGCCUAUCCCUUUUCCUAAAGAACUCAAUGCUGGUUCUGCUUAACGUGAUUAUAUACCAAGUGAUUUAUAUUUGGAAUAAGCCGACAAGCUGAUAGGGAUUUGAAGCCACAAUAGGUUGCAAAUCCUCGACGGUUGCCUUGCAUUAUGGGGCAAAAGAACAAGUUUUGCCCCGUUGUUAUUCCUAAGCCUCGAGGACUUGCAUAAACGGAGACACCAAGCUGACGGUAUUUCAAAUCAAUAAUGCGAUCUCACGCUGUUAAAACAUAUGAGGAUGCAUGAUAGGGUUGGACAGCGCCACCUUAGCUUCAAUAAUACGAUCUCGCGCUGUUAAAACAUGAGGAUGCGUGAUAGGGUUGGGAUAGCGCCACCUUAGCUUCUCCGUUUCAUGCAUUUAAAACAAUCACUAUGUGCAAGCCAUGAAGACCCAAAGCGAUGAGUUCAUUUGGAAGAAGCACGACGAACAAACCAAUCAGUCAAGUACACAGCUACGAAGAUAUGUGAUGACCGUUUCUUCCUUCUUGGUGGAAUAGGCAUGUCAUCGGACCUUAACGGCGGGUUUUCAGACAACAUGAAGUUCCGGGUAAGAAAGCGUAUUCCCAUACCAACACCUUCAUGAUCACGCUACAUAUACAAAAGCACUUUCAACUCACAACGACCAGGAAUGAAAUGACAGAUCCUAACAUGUUAGCUUCCAAAGCUUCGGGUAUUUACACGUAAAUCCCCUCUACUUAUAUCUCUACGAAACACAGAAUGCAACAAGCUCUGGAGAUUUCACAUUCACAUAGACAAGCUUAACCUUUGUGAUUCAAAGCAAAACUCAAACUUAGCGCAAACAACAAAAUCUUGAGGCUUUAAUACAAAAGAGCAUUGGAAAGGUGAACAAGGUUUUACGUCUGUUAACAGUAAGCUACCGUUUUGAAACAAAAUAUAACAAGAAAAUCCAUCUCAACGAAAACUAACUAGGUAACAAUGCAAAGAUGCACAAAACAAAGAAAACCUCAGACGUAGUCUGCAUACUAAGCUGAACUCUUCUCAGUAUUGUUCUCAAGUUCCCUCCUCAGCUGCAGGGAGAAGUCAUCGUUAACAUCGUCAUCAUCCCAGUCGUCUUCCCACUGCUGUGUCACUUCCUUGCCUUCCUCUUUGUCCUCCCAUUCUGUCAUUGUUCAUAAACAAAACAAGACGAAGUUAGAACGAGGCAUAACUCCUACCUGAUCAGCAUUGCAAGCAUACACACAGCAGUAUGAACCAUAAGUAAAAGCAAUGCAGGUUCUCUAAACCUAAACCCGUUAUGCAGAGCAGCACCGUGCUUACGCAAAUGAAAUUUACAAGACAAUACCGAACACAACUAGAACAGCUCAAUCUCCAAAGUAGUGAACCAAAAUUCGACAAGCAUGAGGUCUAAAACAAAUGUACCCUAUUUGAAUUCUUCGUCAAAUUAACGAAUUACCGAACUGCAAUGGCUCAAUAUCCGAAAUGGCGAAACAAAAUAACCAAAUUCAACAUCAAAAAAUGAACUUCAACAGUUUUAGCAUACUUGAGGAUCAAAACUAAGAGACCCAGAAACUUAAAUCCACCAACUAAAUCGCUAAUGCAAGCUGAGACAUUGCAAAAAACUCCAAAUCAAUUCAAAAACACAUGCAAUAACAGUCAUGUUCAAAAAUUUCCAAUCGAUUGAAAGCCUCAGAAUUAAAUAGCACAAAUUGAGAAUGAACUGAAAUUAAGGCUAAACAAUUGACCCACGUAUUGAAGUGCAAAAUUAAAUACCUUCGUUGACAUCAAACUCCUCGAACUCGUCGUCGUCUUCGAACAGAUCCAUCUUCGCGACCUCCGUCACCGCCUGGGGCUCCGCCGCCAUCUCAGUUCUCCAAGCGCGAACUAACACAACAAAAAUCCGAUUCAGCUUUCAAAUUCCGCGAAAUCAGAAUACACAAUAUACAGAAAAUUAAAGGACAAGUAGAACUUACACAAAGAGAGAGAGAGAGAGAGAGAGAGAGAGAGAUCGGAGAAUCUGAAAAAUUGGGAAUUAGGGAUUUUACGUCGGAACCUUCUGGGUUUUUACGGUGAAGUCUCAACAGUCGAAGAGCUUAAAGCCUAAGGUGAGCUCUAAACGGCGACGUAUUGGGGGGGGGAUGUCGGUUUCAGCUCUUCCCAACCUUGUUGAAACAUGAAGUUACAUUAGAUCCGAGUGGGUUGGGCUCUCUAAGGUUAAGUCUUGGGCCCAUUUAUUUGGGCUUGUUAAUACUUAGGGCAAUGUUUGGGGAAAAUCCAAAGUGAGUGGGCCCAUCCUAACUUAUUAGCCGCAACGCUAAAUUUACAUUAAGAGGUGGGAGAAUAUAUUUGUUGCGAACUCACUAUUCACAAGAUUAGAACUUAAGAUUUGAAGAAUAUCAGUAGAUCGUAGUACUAAGUGGCAGCUAUGCUUCCAAUAUAGUUUGUCAAGCUGGUGAUCAUGUUGACCAGCGGUAUUGUGCUCUCUCCUUUUGUCGCCCUUGAUUAUUAUGUUAUCGAUGUUUAGUAUUUGAUCAAUUUCACAAUUGGGAUUUGAUUUUCGUCUCAUCAUUUAUAUAUUUUAAAACAAAUCCUAUCUUCCACCACAAGAAAAACCAAAUUCAACCGUAUGCAAUGAUACACAAGCAACAUGGUCACAUAUGGCUACUUGAAAAAAAAAAUUGAGCUGAUUUCUUUAAGAAUCAGAGAGUAAAAAGCCUAACUAAAAAAAAUCAUAUUUACACCAUAUCUAUGAAUGUAUUUUACAUGCAAAAUCGAGAUGAAUCACCGUUCCUGGACGCCUUGUUUGCGCCUAACUGCAGAACUCAUCCAUCUUGAUGUACUAGUUUCACGAAAGUCAUGGAGAAUUUUGAUGAGGGAGCGCGAUUUCUUGAUCGCAUAAGAUGUUCCAUCCGUCAAGAGCGAAAAGAGUCUAGGCAUUAGUGAUGAUUCCGUUGCCAAAACAGCAACAACUUCCGCCCCGCCAUUGAUGCACAAAGACAGCAGUGUUGAAACACAAUACUCUCUUGCUUUUGGGGAUGUCGAAGUUUGAAGAAUGCGGAUGAUCAAUUGCAAAUCAAUGGAGUGGAGGAUUUCGUAUGAUCCUACGACAUUUUCAGCCAAAAUUGCAAGAACUGAUAAUGCAUCAUCAACGAGCUGAUCAGGGUUUUGUGACGAAGAAGAUAUUAUGUCAACUAGCAGUGGAACAAUGCCCGCGUCCAGCACUUUUUGUUGAUUCCUAGCAAGGAGGAUCAGCCCGAAAAUCGCAACCACGGAGUUCUUUUUCCCGCACGUAUUUCCUUCCCUGAUCAGCUCCACAAGAGCUGGGAUGGCCUCAGGCAUUUCUCCGAUUAGUUUCCGAGACUCCCGCAUCGAAGAGAGGUAAAACAUCGUUGCAGCUGCGCUUUGUCGGGCUUCUAAACUCAACCCAUUUUUAAGAACAGCAACAACUGAUGGUAGGCCUCCCCAUGACAUUAUCAAUUUCAUUCCGCUUGCGUAUUUCGCGAGCUUCAACAAGGCUGCAAUUGCAUUCCCUUGCGUGGAUGCAUCAGCGGAAUUCAGUAGCCUCAGCAGAGGAGGGAUACAGCCAGCCUUGAUCAAACAAGACCUGUUGAAAAUGUUUGAUUUGCCUAGCAAUCGAAUCUCAUAAGCGGCCUUGUUUUGCUGUUCGCUUGUUCCGCAAGCAAGCCUUCCGCUGAGAAAUCUCGACAGAAACCUCAUUGCGUGUUUAGCAACCGGGCUACCAGGUGCGAUCGUUUUUUCCUUGUCGGCGCUUUUCCUUCCUGGCCUGCCGAGAGAAAUGCCGUUGUAUUCACAAAGGUUUUUUAUCAGCCUUCGGAGAACCGAAUUCGGUACCAACUCUGUGUUUGUGAUCAUCUCUCCUGUUUUGGGGCAGAGCAUGUGUCCGUCGUCGAGCCAUUUUUGAAUCGAAUUUCGAUCGUACGUCUGACCUGUAGAUACAGUCACCGGAUCAAGCAUUAGCUCCAGAGAAAUCGGGCACCUGAAAUCUUCAGGGUUUAAGCAACGAAACAUCUCCACGUCGCACCUGGAAUCGAUUUGAUUCGCGGGGUUUUGAUGAUCCAAUGUUUCGAAAAUCAGCCCCCUGCUGUAGCUCAUGAACCCCACCAAGCUACUCAGAAAAGGAACAUCCAUCUCCUCCUGAUCGAAACGCUUGAUAGCAAUUUGUUCUUCCAAGAAUUUGAUCUCCGUGUUGCACUCGCUCCAGCUUUUAAUUCGAAGGUAAUCGAGGACCCGCUUUACGGCAAUCAAAUCGGGCUCGAUUCCCUUUUCGAAUUGGUUCAGAAUCGCAAGCAAUCGUUUCGAAGCCAAUCUGUCACCCACUUGGAGCUCUAAGUUGGCCUUCCACGAUUGCUUCGACACCAAUUCAACCAAUUCCUUAACUUCAUCGCCAACAUCGAUCACUUUCAACGGCAGAACAUCGAGAGCCGUCGCCACAGCUCGAAUCAGAAACCGAAAUUGAGUCGCAAGAAACUCGCAUUUCGUCAGCAUCAAAACUCGACCACCUUCCCUCAUACAAUCCUCCAAUAAAAACCGAAUUUUCUGGAAGACGAAAUGAAGCUCGGAGAGGCAGACGACAACAGACGAUUUCGGAACAACCGAAUUGCAUUCACGUACCUCCUCAAAGAACAUGAGAAGAACACGAACCUGCCGAAUUGCUUCCCGGCUGUUCCUCCAUUGCGUCGCACAGCAUUUCGAUUGGAAACUGCAGAUGGUGUGGGAGAGAGCGAUCAGAGACUCGAGAAGGGUCUCCAGAGAAAUAAAUUCGCAAGGUCGCACCGCCGGAAACGUGAGAAUCCGGCGGUCGCUGCUGUCGAAUUUCGGGUUCAUCGAUGCAAUUGUAUGCGGAAAAACAGAGGAUCUCUGUUUUUGCUCUGUUUUUGGGACAUAGACUUGGAGUAGAAUUCGAGUCGGAAGAGAAGUGUUUCUCUGCUUUGGCUCUGUUUUUGUUCACGGAAUUAAUGGGAGGAGGGGUAGCAAGCGUUGCUGCAAUAUAGGGAGAUAACGGGCACGUGGCGGGAUAUUAGGAGUCCACGUUCCUAGGUUGACUCGGAGUGCACUUCACUGGAUAGGCCUACAUGGACACGUGGAGAGGUGGGGUUGGCUGAUGCGGCUUCAUGGAUACUCGUCAAUGAUGAUUCAGUGUACUGUUUCGCGUCUACGGACAGUUUAUCGUCGGCCGGAGAGUGAUAUCUGUGGGGACCACCAAGCCGACUUGGACACGUGGAAGUGGUUGACGUGUUGCGGUGGCAGCGGGGCACACAGAGGAACACUUGUGUGUGUUUCCUGUGUUUUACGAGUCAAAGUGGGUUUUGAUUAGAGAGACUAAUAGACGAUUAAUUAAUAGAAAAUUAGAGUUUAAAAGCUUGGCAAAGUUCAUGUUCAUACAGACCAGAAUUUUGAGUUAAACAUCGAUUGAAUUGUAAUGGUUUUGUUGGCCCACGUUUAUGUGUCAAAUGGUUCAAUCGCGGGUGCAUUUCUUCUGUUUCGAUUAUGUUUUAUGCCUUUUGUUUCGUAUAACGAUAUUCGUGAUACGAAUAAUUUGAUUAAAGUUACGUUUCUAUUCAUAAUUCUCACGUUUUAAAUUGUGUAUGAGCUUCUUAAAAUAUUUUAUAUCUUAUAAUACUUCUUCGUUUUGAAUGAAACAUAUUCUCCAACAAUAAACAUACGUGGUGUACUUGACAUCAAGAAAAUACAUAACUAUUUUAAUCGAUAUUGAUUAAUGUAUUAGUAAGAGAUUAACUUAAACAAUGUUUAAGAUUGAUGAAACUCCUUAGGGGUAGUGAUGUAGUAUUCAGAGUAGGAUUUUAUUUUCUCGUAUUCUCUUCCUUCUUCUCAUACUUUCACUCUGUGUUUGUUUCUCUAUAAAGAAGUCAACACAAAAUAUUAAUGUGACUUAAUCGUAAUGUUCAAAUAUGAGGAGAGUAAAAGAAAAGAGAAUCUUAGUCGGUAGAUCCUAGCAAUUUCAUCAGUUUUAUUCCUUGAGCAAUUUGAUCACUUAAGCAAUAAGUUAUUACAUAAAUAAUGAGUACGUUUCGCUAAUCAAAUUCUUGUUUGUGGCCACACAUCCUUUUAAUUAAUUUGUAAUUAUCUUCUAAACUUUUCCAUCGAAAACUAAUGAUGAUUUGACAAGUGGACCAACCAUAGUGUGACAAAUUGAACGCGCCUGUUGUCUCUGCAUUGCAAUAAUUCUGGAGAUACUAUAAAACGCGUUCACUUGGUUUUGGUCUAUCCUGUGAUUGUGAUUGGGAUAUUCCCCAAAAAAAUAAAAUUUUACUCUUUGAUGCUUUUCUCCAUGGAAAGAGGUUUUUGUUUUUCAUGGAGUGAUGCCUUCAGCCUGCCAAUCACUGUUUUGCAAAAUAGUUAGGUCUACAAAACUAAGUAAUUAUUCGAUUACGUGAUGUUAUUAUUUUCCUGUUAUUAUGCACGUCGUUGUUGAUUACUAUUAGAGUUCAGAUUAAUGAGUAAUGGGAUAUCAAAUUUUUCGACCCCUUGUAUUAUGGAAAUUGAUAACAAUUACGGUGGUGCUAUAAAGCUAGAAGAAUAAAGAAUUUAGUGAGAUAAAAUGAAUUAAUUUCAUUAAGAGAUAAAAGUUGCAUAAUAAAAGGCAUUGUUGCAUUGAUAUAUCGAGCCAGUUAAGUGUAAUCAUUUUUAACUAACUACAUUCAGUUACGAAUUGACCAUCUCAUCUACUGUUAUCAAGUUUGACAUGUUGACUGUCAUUGAAAAUUUUCUCAAAAAAAGUUUUAUCGCUAACAAUGGCGUAGCCACACCAGUUACUACAACAAUUGUGAUGUCAUUUUGUUCAAGAUUAUUUUUCUUUGAGAUAGUGGGGUUUAUACCAGUUUCAACCAAUUUUUUUAAGAUUGUCUUUACUUUUACUUUCAGUGUUUUACUUUGUGCUAGUUGUGUGGUUGUAAUUGAGAUAUCAAGUUUUUUUUUUAUCUUCUUCGUGUGUUUAAAUAAAUGUAUGUGAAAUUCGGUGAUUCAUUGUAAUUUUGUUAGUUUGCAAUUGCGAAGCUUAUUGAGUUCCUGCCAGACAAAUUUUACAAAUACAGAAGUUAAACUUAAAUUUUUGCAUACAAUACAUAUGUAGUAAAAAAAAAAAAAGCCUUUUGAUUUUAGGGUAUUUUUUAGGGAGUUUUAACGAAAAGCUUGCGGUACUGUUCACUUUAAAGAACAACCACAUUUUUACACUAAAAAGUCAAAUCUUGUACUAUUCACUUUACCCUUUAUCUUGUCCUUAUCGUUAAAACUUAAAAUUUUCAAGCCAUUUUCAUUAGUUUUCCUUAUUUUGUAGCUAGCCCACCUAUAAAAUAUUUUCUGGCCCUUGAUUGCCAAACUGUGAUUUUUCCAAAGAAAUUACUCUUUAUCUUUCACCGGCUUAACUUUUUUGGACAUAAGAUACAUGCGAAUUUUAAGCCCAUGCUUCCUAGUUUGAUCCUACUUCUAGUAUAAAAAAAAAAGGUCGUACCAGUGCACAAGGCUCCCGCUUUACGCAGGGUCUGGGAGAGGUGAAUGUCGGCUAGCCUUACCCCCAUUUAUGGAGAGGCUGCUCCCAAGUCUCGAACCCGAGACCUACCGCUCAUGGGCGAAGGCACUUGCCAUCGCACCAAGUGCGACCUCUAUCCUACUUCUAGUAUAUAUAAUAAAAUUGAAAAUCUUUGUUUAUGGACUUGGGAUAUUAUCACCAACUUGGUUGGCUGCAACGCAAUGGCAACAAAAUUGAAAAAUCUAAAACCAACUUGGUACAAGAUUGUAAAUCUGUCUUGGUUAUUUGUAAUUUGCAAUUUUAUAAUAGACUCAAACUGUUCACAAUGUAGAAGGUUCAGGUCAUAGAAAAUGUCUUGAAGUAAAACUAAAUCUGUGUAAGAUAGACGUUCCCCGACCUUCGCAAAGCGAGGAGUCUCAUUAGCUUGCGGUCGCUUGGUUUACAAAAAUCACUAAAAUUUAGAAGGAUGAAACUUUUGAAGCAUUCCCACAAAACAGUAUAACAUCUUUCUAUCACCACAAACUAGUCAACUUCUUUCGAUUACGGAUUACAGACAGACUUUUUGUAUCUUUAUUAUUUGAAACCACACAGAUCGGAGCAUAUGGUUCGGUCGAGAGAUUUUACAGCCAUGCCGGAUUCUUCAAAGGAGUGACAACAGCCUUCACCUGCAAGUAGUUGUGAAGGCUGUAGAUUCCCUUUUCUCUGCCUAUUCCACUCAUCUUGUAUCCGCCAAAAGGAAUCGCAGCAUCAAACACGUCGAAGCAGUUCACCCAGACUGUCCCAGCCCUCAAUGCCCGUGUCAAGUAGUUGGCGGUGUUAAUGUUCUUUGUGAAUACUCCGGCAGCUAGACCAUAGCGCGUUGCGUUUGCCCUUCGUACCACUUCAUCGAGCUCCCUGGUACAAAAUGUGGAAUUUUUAGGCAUGUAGAAUAUUACAACUUUUGCAGAAUGCAAGGAGUUGAUGCAGUGUGAGGUUUUUAACUCACUUGAAUUUCAAAAUCGACUGCACUGGGCCGAAGAUCUCAUCCUGUGCGAUCAACAUAUCGUCCUGAUUGAAAUGAACAGCAAUCGUGUUACGUGAAACGAUAUUUCAAGAGUACAGGUUGAAGGCUAACUUUGGAUGAGGAAAUAAUAUACCUCAACGUUUGAGAAAACGGUAGGCUGGAUGAAGUAUCCCUUGGAGCCCAAUCUUUCGCCUCCACAUUCAAGGGUAGCAUUGCUAUCAAUGCCAGAUCUUAUGUAUCGAAGGACCUUCUCAAACUGCUCGUUGUCGAUCUGUCAAUUGUCGAAAUGAUCAGAAGCAUCACUUAAAAACUUAUAUUCUUUAUGUCACACAUGAGUGCAUGAAACGAAUAGAACAUCGUUGAAAUGCAAGUAUGUGAGUACCUGAGGGCCUUGUUCAACACCCUUCUUAAAGGGAUCGCCAACAACACGUUUCACAGCGCGUGCCUUUGCUUUCUCUAUGAACUCAUCAUACACACGCUCAUGUACAAAAGUACGAGACCCAGCACAGCAACAUUGCCCCUGAGUGUCAUCCAAGCAUUCAUUAAUGAUGUGUUUUGAACUUCUGAUUACUACAGAACCCGGCUUCGUGGAAAACUAAUUGAACCAACCUGGUUAAAGAAGAGAGCAAAGUGUGCAAGCUCCACAGCAUGAUUAAUGUCAGCGUCCUCACAUAUAAUGAAAGGUGAUUUCCCGCCGAGCUCUAAUGUUACUGGCUUAAGAUUGCUUCUUGCAGCCAAUUCAAGAAUAAUCUUUCCAGUAUCAGUUGAUCCGGUGAAAGCUACCUGAAAAGGAACGCGGUAAUGGUUUUACGUAGCCUGCAUAUCCAGUGUACAGGGAAAAAGAAGGACAAAUGUGCUCCAAAUACCUUGUCCACCUCCAUAUGACUGGCAAGAGCAGCACCAGCAGUUGGCCCAUCUCCAGAAACUACGUUUAGAACACCCGGAGGAAGACCAGCCUGUCACAGAUGAAGCUGAGUAAUAUUAGAACAUGAACAACGACGGAAAAGAAAUAAAGAAUGUACACGCUUCAUGUUGAUGCAGAAUAAAAAGUUAAUUACACUAUAGAUUAAUUUUUACAUAUUUCGCUUGGCACAUAGAUGUUUACGCGUGAGGGAGAGUGAGCAGCUCGACAGGCGUCACAGGCCUACCUCUUGGAAUAGCUUUGCCACAUAGAGGGCAGUCAGAGGCGUCUGCUCAGCGCUCUUUAGGACAAUAGUAUUACCACAAGCCAGUGCAGGCCCAACUUUCCAGGCAAACAUGAGUAAAGGAAAGUUCCACGGAAUAAUCUGUCCUGCAACACCGAUUGGCUCGUGCAGCGUUUGCACGUGAUAAGGUCCAUCAGCCGGAACAGUUAGACCAUGGAUUUUGUCUGCCCAUCCUGGAUAAUUUGAGGAAGAAAUCGUAAGUAAAAACAAUGUGACGAAUAAAAAUGGAUUUUGUCUGCCCAUACUGGAUAAUUUCAGUGUUCUCACCGGCAUAGUAGUGAAACAGACGAGCCAACAUUGGUAGUUCCGCUGUCAGAGCUUGCUCAUAAGUCUUGCCGUUAUUCCAUGUCUCUAGAGCUGCAAGCUCUUCACUGUUUUUCUCAACCAAAUCAGCAAAGCGUAGUAAUAUCCGUGAUCUUUCCUGAUUAAACGAUAAAAAGACGAAGUCUCAAUGACGAUGCACAUCAAUAUCCUGACAAUUUACAUCCCUCAUAUGCUAAUCCAGCAGGAAAGCGCAACAGAAAAAUGUACUACAAAAUAUAGACCAAUGCGAAGUUCGAUAGUUCUUACAUAAGCGCUCAUCUUCGGCCAUGGCCCCUCAUCAAAUGCCUUGCGAGCAGCAGCUACUGCACGGUUAAUAUCUUCUGCGUCGCCCUCAGCCACAUGAGCAAUCACUUCACCUGUACGAGGGUCGUAUGCCGGAAAUGUUUUUCCUGACACAAAAGAAUUUCAAACAUUAGCUCCAUAACAUGUUAUCUUUUCGGCAGUCUUCAUCUUUUUGCAAGUUCCGUUUACUCACACAGUUUUUGCAAAACAAAAGCGACCGUAUGCAGAUUUCUUGGACUCGUAUGAAGAAAAGGAUUACCUGAUGCAGCGUCGACGAAUUUCCCAUUGAUUAGGUGCUGAGUGUGACUUAUUUGAACAGGUGGAAUGAUUAACUCCUCAGUUGCUGCAGCAGUGCUAAACCUGCUAACUCUUCUCCCUGGAGGGUCAUGGGAGGAGUAUUAUCCGUCGUAUUAAAUCACGAAAAUUGAAAAAUCCAUGAAUCUUUGGCUGUAUGAUGGCUCCACCAUCAUUCAAAAAUUCCAGAGAGAGAGAGAUACACACACACACGCAUACACACAC
RNAcentral lists this long non-coding RNA (64470 nucleotides) under Malus domestica (apple). Its description in RNAcentral is "long non-coding RNA (MDOM_LNC006308)". The record is from RNAcentral. Lineage: Eukaryota; Viridiplantae; Streptophyta; Magnoliopsida; Rosales; Rosaceae.